UUUUUUUUUUUUUUUGUAGAAAAGUGAAAUUUGAACAGCUAGACAUUCUUGCUUAAUCUUGCAAAAAUUAAAUAUUAAAUUUAGUUAGGAAGGACAACCAAAAGAAAAAGUUCCAAAAGGAAGCACGAAUGGAAGAUGUGGAAAUUGGAUGGUCGUAAAUACCUCUAGGACAAGAGUCUUCCAAAUAGGAUUGCAACAAAGACAAUUCCACCAAACCAUUUAUUUGAUGCAAAUCUGUUAAGCAGAAAGCGUAGAAGAAAACUUAGCUAGAGAUAAUAAAAUAUAUCAGAGGUAUAUAAAGCAAAGAUUUUUCUUUAUUAUGGAGUUUGUGUAUCCUCAAUGACUUGUUUCUGAGAACGGGUAAGGUUCCAUUUAGGAUUGGAACCAUCAAAAUUUGUAUUCCACAAUGGCGAAAUCAUCCUUUCAUUUCCGCUUCAAAAGAAAAAUCUUCCACUCUUACAUACCAUAAAUCCAAAAGUAGCCAGAAGAGAGAAUUAUGCUUUGAAGGCGUGGAAAUUAAUUUCAGCAUGAGAGGAUAAGCAUAUUAUGAUUUCUUAUGGGUGUCAAUUAUGUAAAGUCAAAUAAUAUGUGAAUUCCAAUUUUAUCUUCGUGGAUGAGUACCCACUUUCUGAAACAGUCUGCAGGGCUUGAUAGGACAACAUCCCAAUUUUGCCAAGCUCUGUGACAGGAAGCAGCAGCUAGCAAUGCAUAAAAUGGCCAUCCUAAAACACUCAAAAAAAAAAAAAAAAACAAGAACAAUGCCACUAAUGUUAAUUAGGGGAAAAUAUAGAGACAAAAAAGUAGACUGCUAGAGGAAAGUGAACAUUAAAGAAAUAUUUUUAGCCAAAGUGAUCCGUUUAACAACAGCAAAUAUGAAAAAUAAAAGAAAGGGAAUUAUUUUUAUGGGAAUAGGAUUUGAAAAACAGAUAUAUGAAACAAAAAAAAUAGAAAGAGAAUAUGAGUAAUUCUCUUUUGACUAUUUGCCAAAUAAUAUAUCAUUCAAAAUCAGAAGGUUGAAAAGUAUUCUUGCGAUAAAGAGUGGAAUUCAAGUGCGAAAAAUUUUACCAAAAUAUGAAGAGACACAAAUGGCUCCUAAGGUUAAUGUUGUAAAUUAAAAACAGUAAAGGCAAGUAACAAUAAGAAGUAACUUAUUGUACAAGUACGAAUUGCAUGGAUUUCCACACCGAGUAAGGGAUAGAUUUACUCUAUUUCUAUAAAAAUUGAUAAGUCGCAUUUUUGUCUUCUAUUUUAUAAUUAAUUAUUUCUUAUUAUCUUAUCAAAUAUGCACCUAUGCAUAUUUGGCAUAGGUGCAUCAAGUCAGACCUUAACGUGUCCAGAAAAGAAAAUACGGGACAGGCGCGAGACACUAAUUGCCAAUUGGAAGUACAACGUGGGACCGCACAUAUUCCAUUAGCUGAUUGUUAGAUUUGAAUUGGAAAAGGUAGCUCAGCAAAAAUAGGAAACGGGCCAAUUAGGAUUUAGGAGACUUCCUACUUUUUUUGGCUUCGGUUGAAUAGGAGAUGGAAGUCAAUUGAGAUUAGAACUCUCUUUUCCUAUUACCCAUGGGAGUAGCCGUAUAGGAGUGGACAAUUACGUAGGAAAUAGAUAAGAAUUGGAGAAAAAAGUAGCAGACAUUCUUGACUACUUUGGAUUUUGACUUUUGCAUCUUAUUCUUGUGGCUUAUUCCAUUGGAUUGCUCCUCUCAAUUGAGAGACGAUGUAUGCAACAAUUAAUUCUGCAAUUUUGCAUGAAUUUUUUUCAACGGAGAUGAACUAAAUUUAUACUUCUAAUUAAGGAACAAUUGAGGAUUUGGUUCGAUUUAAAUUGUAAAAUUUAAUUGAUUUUAGUUUUUCUAUUAUUUUCUGGUAUUCGUAUAUUUUUUGCUUUAUUUUUCUUAUGGUUGUUGUAUUAUUCAAUUGUUCCGGGUCCGGAUGUUAGAUUAAUUCAAUAACCUAGAGCCAAUUAGAAUAAUUAAAUCCGUAAUUAUUUGAUUAUUCUAAAUUAGUGGCAACUGGCAUAAUCGAGAUUAUGUCAGGGAAAUAUACGAACUAAUUUGUAGACAACCAUCAUAGCGUGUUGUUUGGUUAAAAUAGGGUUUCUUUAAAUUUUAAAGUAAUUAUGAAAUUUAAUUCUACAGUCGUACCUAAGAUUAUUUUGCAAUUAGGAUAGUAGCUAACGGUCGUACCUUAACUGUCGAUAAUUAUGGAGAAAUUGAUUGUCAUCGCUUGUUUGACAAUUAUAACUUGUUUAUCAGUUUAUAUGUGAAAUUAUUCUUGCAUCGAUGAUCAAUUAGAAGAACCAUUUCUGAAGUUGCUUCUUGACUAGAGCUGUCCAAUACUGUUUGAGUUUUUAUCUUAUUGCUAUUUAAUUUUUAGUUAAUUGCAAUAUUCGAUUAACAUAGCUUAUUGUUAAUUUCCCUAAUAUCCUCCCAUAACUUGAAUUUUAGUAGAAACGAAUUACUCCCAGUUCUUGUGGAUUCCAUUCUACUUGCCUUAUAUACAAAUUAACAAAUUCUUGUGAAUAAAUUUUGGUAUAUCGGAUUUAGCAAAUUCUUCGGAGUCAGAGUGAAUCUAAUAACCCAUUACACAUCUAGAAUUCCUACUCCAGUACUAGAAUUGACGUGAAACUGCUUUUGCUCGCAACUAGGAGUUUUAUUAUCAUUAUUGCACAGACAUCGACAACUUGUCAAUUUUUUACGCUGUUGCCGGGAACUGGCGUUAGUUAAUUUGUUUCUUUUUAAGUUCAUUUCUGUUUUAAUUUUCUAGUGUCUUUUCUAGCUUAUGCCUCAGUCCUCUCGUACAGGCGAAUUGAUUUUUGACAUUGAAAUAGAAAAGACCGCGCGCUGAACGCGAAAAGAGACCAGACAGCUCACAGAAAAGCAAUCUAGUGCUGGAUCUCAGAGACCUAAUCUAGAAGUUGAAUCAACAAGUUCACUUGGUGAUAUUUUGAGUGACUCGGAUCGAGAAGAAGGUACUAUGGCUAAUGCACGAACACUAAGGGAGUUGGCUGUUUCUGAUUUAAAUCAGCAGCCUCUAUGCAUCACUUUUUCAAUUUGAAUGAUAACACCUUGUUUGAGUUAAAAUCGGGCCUAAUUCAUCUUUUGCCAUCUUUUCAUGAUUUACUAGGUGAGGAGUCUCAUAAACACUUGCAAGAGUUCGAUGUUGUCUGUAAGAGUAUGAAACCUUCCGAAAUUACGGAAGAGCAAAUAAAAAUGAGAGCAUUUUCCUUCUCUCUCAAGGACUCCGCAAAAGACUGAUUGUACUAUCUAGUUCUACGUAGUAUCACCACUUGAGAGCAGUUGAAGAAAAAAUUCUUGAAAAAAUAUUUUCCUACUUCCCGAGUUGCAAGUUUGAGGAAGGAGAUAUGUAGAAUCAAGCAACACCCAGAAGAGUCGCUCUAUGACUUAUUGAAAAAAAUUCAAGAAGCUGUGCAUCAAAUGCAACCAACACCAAAUAACCGAGCAAUUGCUUAUCCAGUAUUUUUAUGAGGAGCUCCUUUUCAGAGACAGGAGUAUCAUUGAUGCUGUAGGUGGAGGGGCGUUGGUGAACAAGACUCCUCGAGAAGCGUGGGAGUUGAUUGAAAGGAUGACCGAGAAUACACAACAAUUUGGUACAAGAGGUGAUGUCCAAAUAUGCAGAGUAAAUGAGGUAAAGACAUCAGCUAUCCAACAACAGUUGACCGAGUUAACAUCAUUUGUUAGGCAAUUGGCUGUGGAAAAUGCUCCAUAAGCCAAGGCGUGUGGGAUUUGUACUGCCAUACAUCAUUCUACAGAGAUGUGCCCAGUGAUUCAAGAAGAGAGUGCGGAGCAAGUAAACAUGACUAGUUACGUGCCCGCGCCAAAAAAGUCAUAUGACCCGUACUCGAACAUGUACAAUCCAGACUGGAGAGAUUACUCUAACUUUAACUAUGGAGGAAAUAAGCAAUCAAACUUUGCACCGAAUAGGCAGUAGGUAUCAACAUCAAUAUCAAUUUCGCCCACCACCACUCCCUACAAGCUCUAGCCCGAUUCUAGAAGUAAUGAUGAAACAAUUAAUUGCUAAUCAACAAAAGACGGAUUCUGACUUACAGAAUAUAAGGAAUCAAAUAAGACAAAUACAAGCAAUGCAGAGUCAGAUGAGUUAGAUGGCAAUAGCAAUCAACUGUCUGAAAUCCUAAGUUUACAAAAAAUUACUAUCUCAACCUGAACUGAACCCGAAGAAUGUAAGUGCAAUGACCUUAAGGAGUGGGAAGGAAAUUCAAAAACCCAAACUUGUGAUUCCGAAGGAUAAAAAUGAAGAUCGAAUUGAAAAAGAGCUUGAGGAGAAAGGAAUGAGAAUUCAAAUCCAAAGAUAAUUUCUGAUUUUAUAAUUAAAGUUGGAACAAACUCACCGCUUUUCCGAGCAGGUUAGAGAAAUCAAAGAAACAAGAUAAGGAAAAGAAGAUUCUAGAGGUGUUUCAAAAGGUGACAAUCAAUAUCUCUUUAUUGGACACGAUCAAUCAAGUGCCGAAAUAUGUUAAAUUCUUGAAAAACUUAUGCAUUAACAAGAAGAAGUUGAGGGGGGGAUGAACAGAUUGUGAUAGGUGAGAACGUUUCAGUGAUUUUACAAAGGAAACUACCACCUAAAUGUAAGAAUCCAGGUAUGUUUACUAUCUCUUGUAAGAUUGGACAUUCUAAUAUCAAAAAUGACAUGCUAGAUUUAGGGGCUUCUAUUAACGUGAUGCCUAAAUCAAUUUAUGAUUUCCUAAAUUUAGAACCUUUGAAAGAAAAGGAGAUAAUAAUUCAAUUGGCUGAUCGUGCAUUUGUUUAUCCGGAUAGAAUAAUUGAGGUUGUUUUAGUACAAGUAGAUGGAUUAAUUUUUCCUGCUGAUUUUUUUGUACUUUAUAUGGAUGAUAGAAGUGCUUCAAAUCCAUCACCUAUUAUAUUAGGAAGGCUGGAUUAAUUUUUCUUGCUAAUUUUUGUGUGCUUUAUAUGGCUGAUAGAAGUGCUUCAAAUCUAUUACCUAUUAUAUUAGGAAAGCCCUUCUUGAGUACUGUCCAAACUAAGAUUGAUGUCAGUAAGGGUACUCUCACAAUGAAAUUUGAUGGAGAAGUAGUCUAUUUUAAUAUUUUUGAUACAAUGAAACAUCCUGUUAACUCUCAUUCUGUGUUUACAAUUCAUGCUACUAAUCCCUUUGUGCAAAAAUUUUCUGAGUUCGAUUAUAAGGGUAAACUCAAAAUUGCUGCGAACCAGUAUCAUGGGAUGAAAAUACUUUAUAAGGUGAACAUGAGUAAAAAAUUAAAGAAGAUGGUUGCACUCAAUGACUAUUUGAAUCCCGAAGGAAUGUCAUUGAAUGUGAGAAAAUCUGAAUUAUAUCUAGAUUGUGGAGUGAUGUUUAAUGUUUAGCCAAAGACGUUAAAGGAAGUCGCUUAUUGGGAGGCAAUCCAAUUUCUUUUAGUGUUUGUUCAAUUUUAUUUGAUACUUUCAAUAUGUUUUCAUAGAAUUUUUUUUUUCAGAUUUUUGGUUUAAUUUUUCGUUUUUGAUGAUUAGUAGGUGUUCCCUUGACAUGACACGCCCGCGUUAAUAGGGCACGUGAUAAUGUGCAACUCUCAAGUCUUUCAUCAAAAGAGUUACCACUCUCAUGACGUGCCAGCGUCAAGUCACCUAGAGAGCUAUUCUUUCGAUCCUGGAGCGGACUGACCAACAUGACGUGCCCGUGCCAACCAGGCACGUGGUGACUUUUAAUUCAACAAGUCUCCAUCAAAAGGGUUUCCACCCUCUCAUGAUGUGCCCGUAUCAUUUGGGCGAGUGGUAAUGUGCAAUUCUCAAAAUUUUCAUCAGAAGGGUUUCCACCCUUAUAAUGCGUCCGCGUCAAUCGGGCACAUGGUAACUUUGAACUUAACGGACCUUCAGUAGAAGGAGUUUUGCCUUCUUGACAUGCCCACGUCAUGUUCAAGGGAAAGAUAUGUAUUAAAAAAAUUUUGAACUUUUUUUUCGUUUCACUUUAAAAUUUAAUUUUUAAGUUUCAAAUUUUAAAAUUUGAAUUCAAAAUUUAAAAAAAAAACUGAAACUUUUUUUUCCUUCUUCUUUCUUUCUUUUUCUUUCCUUCUUUUUAUUUCUUUCUCUUUUCUUCCUUUCCUUCUCCCCUAUUUCCCCUGGUUCUCUCUACACCGAAACCCACUGAGCGCCGCCCAUCUCCUCGCGCCGCUACUUCCUCACUCACAAAGGGAAAAAAAAAUCACAAAAACAAAAAAAGUGUGAAAGUUGUGUAAAUGCGUGUCUAAAGUUAACCUUCUAAUCUAUGGAUUUUAUGUUGAGAUUUUGAUUAAUAGUUGGACCAUUUGCUGAUAAAUGUUGAUCGAUCAUUCCUUUUUCUUAGAAUAGUUAGCCAUAAAUUGGAAUAGUCUGCGAUUUAAAAGCUAGCCGAGGUGAUAUUUCUUGGAUUUUGACCAUUAAUGCUUGAUAUGUGUUUUUUGGUAUUUUGGCAAUAAGGUAGAUGGAUCAAUCGCCAUUGUCUGGAAUUGGUGUUUAGUUGCGGUUCUCAUAUUUGAGGACAAGCAUUGUUUUAGUGUGGGAGGAAUUGAUAAGUCGCACUUUUGUCGUCUAUUUUAUAAUUAAUUCCCACCUAUUAUCUUACCGAAUGUGCAUUAAUUGGUGGAUUCUAUUCACUUUUGAGAAUUUGUGUUGAUUGCAGGGAGUUGGAACAAAAUGUGAUAAAAAGAUACAAAUUCUCCACUACAAUUGCUAUUUGGCAUAAGCGCGUCAAGUCAGACCUUAAUGUGUCCAGAAAAUACAGGAUAGGCGCGAGACACCAAUUGCCAAUUGAAAGUACAACGUGGGACCGCACAUAUUCCAUUAGCUGAUUGUUAGAUUUGAAUUGGAAAAGGUAGCUUAGCAAAAAUAGGAAACGGGCCAAUUAGGAGACUUCCUACUUUUUUUGGCUUCGGUUGAAUAGGAGAUGGAAGUCAAUUGAGAUUAGAACUCUCUUUUCCUAUUAUCCAUGGGAGUAGCCGUAUAGGAGUGGACAAUUACGUAGGAAAUAGAUAAGAAUUGGAGAAAAUCUUACUUUCGUAAGAAAAUUUGGGAAAAAGAUAAGAAUUGGAGAAAAAAGUAGCAGACAUUCUUGACUACUUUGGAUUUUGACUUUUGCAUCUUAUUCUUGUGGCUUAUUCCAUCGGAUUGCUCCUCUCAAUUGAGAGACAAUGUAUGCAACAAUUAAUUCUGCAAUUUUGCAUGGAUUUUUUUCAAUGGAGAUGAACUAAAUCUAUACUUCUAGUCAAGGAACAAUUAAGGAUUUGAUUCGACUUAAAUUGUGAAAUUUAACUGAUUUUAGUUUUCCUAUUAUUUUCUAGUAUUCGUAUAUUUUCAACUUUAUUUUCUUAUGGUUGUUAUAUUAUUCAAUUGUCCCGGGCCCGAAUGUUAGAUUAAUUCAAUAACCUAGAGCCAAUUAAAAUAAUUAAAUUCAUAAUUGUUUGAUUGUUCUAAAUUAGUGGCAACUGGCAUAAUCGGCGUUAUGUCAGAGAAAUAUACGGGCUAAUUUUUAGACAACCCUCGUAGCGUAUUGUUUAGUUAGAACAAGGUUUCUCUAAAUCUUAAAGCAAUUGUGAAAUUUAAUUUUACGGUCGUACCUAGGAUUAUUUUGCAAUUAGGGUAUUAACUAACAGUCGUACCUUAGCUGUCGAUAAUUACAGAGAAAUUGAUUAUCAUCGCUUGUUUAACAAUUAUAACUUGUUUAUCAGUUUAUAUGUGAAAUUAUUCUUGCAUCGAUGAUCAAUUAGAAGAACCAUUUUCGAAGUUGCUUCUUGACUAGAGCUGUCCAAUAUUGUUUGAGUUUUUACGUUAUUGGUAUUUAAUUUUUAGGUAAUUGCAAUAUUCGAUUAGCAUAGCUUAUUGUUAAUUUCCCUAAAAUUCCCCCAUAUCUUGGACUUUAGGAGAAACAAAUUACUCCCAGUUUUUGUAGAUUCGACUCUACUUGCCAUAUAUACAAAUUAACAAGUUUUCAGGAAUAAAUUCUGAUAUAUUGGAUUUAACAAACUCUUCGGAGCCAUGGUGAAUCUAGUAACCCAUUGUACGUCUAGAGUCCCUACUCCAGUACUAGAAUUGACGCGAAACUGCUUUUGUUGGCAACUAGGAUUUCCAUUAUUAUUAUUGCAUAAGUAUCGACAACCUGUCAAAAAUAUACCCAAGUUAAAUUAUAAUCAAACAUCUUCUCAUGUUAUUCUACAUAUGCUUAAUCAAUACUUAGAUAAAUCUUUUUCGCAACAAUACAUAAAUUGUUAACUUCACUUAUAAACUCAAUGGAUCAUAUAAAAAAAAGUUAAUUACAAUAAAAAAUAGUUGGGUAAAGAUGAAUAAAAAGAAGUAAAUACUAAUAUGAGCAUUGAAUCCAGCUAGAUCAAGACUAGCACUGGAUGCAACUGAAAAACCAGUAGUCCACAGUUUUGUAAAAUCACCCAAGAGCAAAGCAGUGGAUUUGACACCCAUUUCCAAGUCAUCUUCUUUAUCCUGUUCCCAUCAACAGGAAACUCAUUAGACUACACUUUCUAGUAUUUAUUCACCGAUGGUGUGGUAAUUUUAGCUUGACGUAGUUACGUAGUUUCAACUGCAUUAAAUAAGAAUUGAUUUCAUAUACAGUGUAUAUAGUAUUGAUGUAUGUCAUAUGUAGGAGAAAUGAAGUUCAAAAUCAAAUUAAAAUUAACUAAUAUGCGUUGAUGUCGUUAAUAUAUACAUUAUCAGUGUACACAAAAUUAACAAAAUGACAAGAUCAAAUAAUUCAUUGAUCUUAGUGCAACAAUAAAUUCAAGAGGAAGGGUUGUUUGCCCAUAUGAGUUGUGCAUGCCAAUUUCUGUCAAUUUGUAGCAAAACUGCCAAUUUUCCUUAAUAGGUCCAAAUUUAACACUUAUGUGAUUAAAUCUGUUUUGAUAUUGAAAAUUUAGGACCAAUGAACCAUGCCCCAAGGAUGGGGAAUAAAAAUCCAUUCUUCCUAUAUCAGACUCGAUCGGUAGAGAAUAUUAAUAUGGAGAUGGCCAUUCUUUUUAAAAGAUCUGACAUAUUUACACAUUUUUUCUAGCUUAAUUAAACAUUGGUAGUUGUUUUCGUUUGUAUUUUCUCUUACGAUUUCAUUUGCAAAUCCUCUGGUCCUUGUCACCGAGGAAAAAAGGGAAGUGUCCAGCCAUCAACUCUUGUUUUGAUGAGGAGCAACUAAAUUGUCCAGUCACUAAUUUGAUUCUUAUUAAUUCUCACAGUUCUUUAGUGUAUAAAAUACCAAUUUAGUUGAAGAAAAUUUGUACCUGAUGAGCGUAUAUUUUAUCAUACUCUAGAGUCCAAGAAGUGGGACAACAAUAGCAGGAUCAAGACUUCCUUUAACAGCAGCCCAUGAGUAUAAUGCUCCCCAGUUCAUUGUCAGCCCCAACUGGGCUUGAGGCUGCGACAACAAUUUUUUGUUUUUCUAAUUGACUGUGUAAAUUUUUUUUUUUAGUGCUAAUGAUUUAUGUUAAGGAAAUAAAACGAGUUGUGUACAAAUGAUACAUAAAGUUAAUUCAUAUUUAAAGUUCUCUUGUUACACAUUUGACAUAAUAACAGUGUAAAAGGAUAGUGCUUAACAUAUUUGCAUUUUUACAAUUGCAUAGGUUCUAAGCAUGAAAAGAGCUGGUAGUUCAUCGGGACUAUUACAUGGUAACCUCAUUUUAAUGCAUUGACCUCAUUUCCAACAAAAUUAGCGCAACUAAGCACAAUGAAGCAGUGAACUCAUUUCAGUUAAUUUUAUCUUUAUCAAUAGAGUGAUCUUUAUGAAUUAUUUGUACAUUCAUCACUAUCGAGUAAUAUUUUGAUGGUUUUUUUUUUCAUUUUUAGUUUUUUAAGGAUACGAGAUAAACACACUUAAAGAAGAUGUAAGUCCACUGUGAAAACUGUAAGAUUACUAUCCACCUUUUUGAAUUUCAAUACUUAUGCAGAAAAAAUAUGUUUUCUUUUGCGACAAAAACAAAAAGAAAAAAAAAAGUGCCACAUAACAGAUUCCUACUAAAAUUAAGAAAGAUGAAAUUUAUACUAUACGGGUGAUUUUUAACUAUUUACCUUAAAUUGAUUAGGCAGUCCUACAAUAACUGAAAAUUAGAUUUAAAUUUAAUAUAAAUUUACAAAUUGUAAGCUACCAUAACAUAAAAAAAAAACUUUGAAAAUAUUACAAUAUAUUAUUGCAUGGCUAUAACAUUUUAUUUAGUGCAAAAAUUGUAUCAUCAAAACAGAUAGUUUAUGUUUAAGACGUUCAUUGCAUUUAAUACAAACUUAUCUGCUUGUAUCAUAAAUACAUUUUUAACCACUUUUUUAUCUCACAUGUAUAAUGUAUCACCAAAAAAAAAAUACUACAGUAUUUUUUUCAAAAAAAUUUUCCAAAUAAUCUCCUAUUUAAACACACUCAAUAAUGUUAUUUUGGACACACUAAUAAGGAAAGACACACACAAUGUAGAGCCAUAUAAAGCUUCAAACUAAUGUGUAGAGCCAUAUAAAGCUUCAAACUAAUUGUAGAGCCAUAUACUAUGGACAUGCACCCAGUGUGUUAUUAUCUUCAUGAGUGGGCAAGUAAAGAUCAACCGCAAUGAUGAAAUCCAUAAUAGACGGCUGCACAUAAACAAAAGAAAAAUUAAAAACUAAAGUUGACUAUGCUUCAAAAAAAAUUGAAGGAAAAUUAAUACAAGUGACUUGGAUCCUUAGAAAAGGGUCAAAUACACUUAAAUAUUUAAGCCACGAACAAAUUACAAACUAAAAUGAAGGAUAAGAAAGGACAAGAGGAAAGAGAAGAUAAGUCACCAAUCCAAGAAGUUUUAAAUGAAUUACAUGCAUCUAUCAAAUACUUCCUCUUUUUUUUUUUUCGCAAAGAUGAUAAGUUAUCAGCCCAAUAAGUUUUAGAACGCAUUUGUUAGAAUUGUUAGGGUAAUCUAUUUAGACAAUAUAACAAAUCAAAAUGGACAGCCCACUUCACGUUUUUUCCCCCGUUAAUUAAGUUUAAAAAGAGAGAGAGAGAGAGAGUCUAAAAAACAAAAGAUAGUGGUGUUAUGAACAUCAUAUAUAUAUAUAUAUAUAUAUAAUAAAGUCGUAUUCUCAUAUUUAUCUCUUCAUGUUUUUUUUUCUACAUGGUUUAACAAAACGGCAAGUAGUUUCCUAUGUGGCUUGCUUCUUUUUUGUUUAGAUAUAUAUCAAUUCUUAUUUCCUAUAAGAAUUCUUAAUAUUAUAUGAUUCUUGUUUCCUACCCAAAAAAGGAACUGGAAAGUAAUGCGAUAUAAAUAAAAGAGACAUAAAUAUCUCAAUUAGAUAUAUCUCCAAAUUCAUGCCAAUAAUUUGUGUACUGCAUAGGGAAUUGAAGUAAAUAAGAAUUGUUAUCACUACAAGAAGUAGAAAAGUAACUAAUUUCAAAAGGAACUAUUAAUAACAGAAGUCAAUAUCUGAUGUUGGAAAUAGGAUUCUUAAUAAAUUUUAUUAUUAAGCGCGUUAUCAAGACAUAGUGCAUAGUACGAAAUUUAUGGAAAAGAAAAAGUUAAUUGAAUCCAAUUAACUAUAUGUAUUUGACCCGUAAGGUCAAAUAUAAAUUUCUAUUUGAGCACGGGUUUGUAAAUUCAUAUAAAUCGGUUUGUUGUUAAUCAAAACAUGCAGGUUAUACUCAUUGUUAGGUUAUAAGAUUCAAAAUACAUCUCUGCUCAGAUGGUGGGGAGUAUUUAGUAUGUGGACCCACACCAAAGGAGUCCAUGCAUUUAAAGGAUUCGAUAUAGUUGAGGUGGUCUUUUAAAGUAGGUAAAAUUUGUCUUGAGAACGCACUUUUAUUUCCACUCCUCUUGAUUAUCAGGUACAUCUUCUUUCAAUACAUUUUUUUAAAAAAAGGCAUGUUGAUCUUCAAUUGCAAAAGUUUAGUAACAUAUCUUGAAUUUUAUUUUUUAUUUUUUGUUUUUUUUGUGAACACAUAGGAUUAGUAAUAUAUCUUGAAUUAGUAGUAAAUUUCUCUUAUAUUUCACAUAUUAUAUCUCACAUAAUAUUUUUGCCUUUAAUUUUGAUAAAUUAUUAUCAGAUUGGUAGAACUGACAACCAAUACCAACCUGAAGCAUCUUCUUCCCAAAUCCCAAUCAGUAUAACAAAUGAUUCUAAUCAACACAUUUCAUAUGAAUCAUUCAUCAGAGGGUUCAAUAAAAAUCACAGAGGAAGGGAAUCCUUAUAAAAAGAUUUGCAUGAGAAGGUAGAUUUAAUAUACUAUUUUACUUUCUUAAAUUAUAAUCUUUAUGUAUUUUUAUACACAACCUUGAAUGCGAUAAAUCAUUUAUUUUUUUAUACUUAGUUAUCCUGCUUUGCUAUCAUGCAGUGAUAAUGAAAAAUCAAUAAAUACUGAUUUACACGGAUAAAUCGAGGAGAAUGUUCAAACAUAAGAUUGGGAUGUGGGAUAGCUAUAUGCUAAUCCAAAUUCCAAACCUGAUUGGGAUGUGCGCCACGUGGCUGCUAUAAUUGCUUUUAUAUAUAUAUAUAUAUAUAUAUAUAUAUAUAUAUAUAUGAAUUAGGAGAAAAUAUUAUUACAAAAUUUGUUGAAAAUCAUCCAGCACUAAUUGUUUUACAAAAUUUGGGGAAAAAUUCUAAAGAGAAUCGAUUUAAGUUCCUGAUUUAGCAAAAAAAGAAAAAAGCUAAUUCAUGAAUUACUUUAUUCUAUUCACUUAGAACCCAUUUUAUACGGGAAAAAUCUAUAAUUCACGAGCCAAUGUUGGAAAAUUCUAUAUUUGCAUAUUACUCAGUCUAGCGUGACAAAAAAAAGGCUGCUAUUAUUGUUGCGCAGCCGUUGGUAGGCCAAUAAUUGCAUAUUUAUAAAUUAAUACCAAAUUCUGAAUAGUUCCAUUCAAAAGUGAGUCUAGCCGUUGGUAGGGGGUGGACUACGGAGUUCCCUCCCCAUCCCCCAAGUUCUAAACAUUUAUGGUUUUUUCCUUUUAAAUUUUGUAAAUUUUGUAAAUUUUUAAAAAAAUUAUGUAUUUUAAAUUAUUUUCCCCCCAAAAAUGCUUAAAAAAUUUUAUGUUGAUUCGGAAGUUUCUAUAUACAUAUAUUUGGCCCCCUCAAAUUAAAAUUUCUGAUUCCAUCCCUGUCUAGUAAUGUCAAACGUCCCGAGCCCGCACGUGCCUGUCACGUGGCAUUCGCCGUAUUCUCAAAUCCCACUUAAGAAUAUAAGGCAUCAUUUAACUAAUCUAAAUUUCAAAAGUAAGAAAUAACAUAACUAAAGUAAAGUGCGAUACAAAUCUCAUAUACCAGGUAGUCUACGAAUAUCCAAUACGUUCGUACAUUUAUUUUCUAAUGGAAACAGCGGAAUCGAAAAUAAAUAAGACUAAAAACUAGAAGCAGCUAGCCUGCCAACUUCUAUUCAUUUAAAACUAAUAAAAGUCGUCUUCAGGGUCUUCUACGUAAACCAACUCAUACUCCUCAGAAUCUGCAAAGAUGGUAAAAAGUGGGUUGAGCGAUAAAUCGCUCAGUAGGUAAUAUCUACUUCUCUGUUGGACCAUGUACUCGUAAUUUUUACAGAUACAUAUAUAUAGAUAGAAAUCAAAUCCUUUGCGUGCCGAUCAUAUCCAUAAUUUUGAAAGUAACAACGUUUAUAAAAUGAUCAGCAGUAACAAGUGGCAAGCAAUUUAAAAAUAUUUUAUUGAUAAAUGAACGUGGAAAAUCAAAAAGUCAUAAAUCAUUUCGUUUCAAUUCACAAGUCUCUUCAUAUCCAUUCAUAAGUCAUUCCAUAUCAGUUCAUAAGUCUCAUUUCACAUCAGUUCACAAAUCAUUCUAUAUCAACUCAUAAAUCAUUUCAUAUUAGUUCAUAACAAGUACAUGUGAUGACCGGCUACUGAGUACUUAGUCUAGAGAUUAAACCCAUUCUAGGUGGGCGACCAAUAGGUUUCAUGACUAUCGAUUGGCCUCUUUUCAUACAUGGGUCAAUCGGCCGGACUUUAUACCAGACUACCAUGACCUUAACAAUCGGCUGGACUUUUUACCAGGUUACCGUGACCUUGACAAUCGACCGGACUCAAUACCAGACUACCAUGACCUUGUCAAUCGGCCGGAUUUUAUACCGGGCUACCAUGACGAUUAGACAGGACUAUAGCCCUUACCGUCUAUUCUAUGACUGUUUUGAGCUUUACUUGUCAAAAAUUCAUUCCACACGUCACAUACAUAAAUCUUUGAUUUCAUAAAAGAUUCAAUUCGUUUGGUAUAUAAUAACAUAUUGAAACAUUUCAAAUAAGUCACAUGGUCCAUUUUUGUAUAGUAAAAAUAUUACUUUCAUAAAUAUCCAAAUAAAGCAUUUAAUCAAAUAUAUUUCGAGUCAACACAACAAAAUAAGAUUAAAAACAAAAAUUUCCUUUUUUUUUUUUUGCACUUUUGAAAUCUCAGAAGGGUAAGUACCACCUAUCUCUGUUUGGCUGCUUGAGUGGAAUUACCUUAGGUCAUUGUAUCGUACAUAUCAAAUGCAUAGGUUCCCUAAUUAGUUGUUACUUCCUAUAGAUGCAUAAAUAUAAACCUCUAAGUAAGUAAAAGAUUCAUAUCUAGAUCAUUAUACGGACCCUAAAAGCAUUUCCUUUAAAUUGGACAAUUUCUAUCUUUGAAAACUUUCUAUUUUUAGAAAGUUUCUUAAUUUGAAACGUGUUCAUUUUGUAAAGUUUCCUAAUUUAAAGGAAAUAAUUAUUCGUAACCAUGUUUAUUAUCCUAACUACUAUCUCACUAGGUUUAUUUAUAAUUUAUGAUUAUUCAUUAUUAUUAUUAUCAUCCUCGUUGUCUCUAAUUUAUUUUAUUAUCACUUAUAUAUAUUAGAUAGUUACUAUUACCUUUCCUUUUAUUUCCACUUUUAUGCGUGUAUAGGUGUUAUUAUUAUUUAUGUAUACAUGUACAUAUGUAUGUAUUGACUUAUUAUUAUAAUUAUUGCCUUAGCUUAUUGCACUUGUAUUAUAUUUUUAUCUUCGUUUACAUCCUUAAUUUAUUUUCUCCAUGUCCAUAUUGUUAUUAUCCUUACUAUUAUUGUUUAUUAAUUAUUAUUUACUAUUAUUAUUAUGAUUAUGAUUAUUAUUAAUAUUAGUGCUAUCGUCAGCAUUAUUAUUAUUAUUAUUAUUAUUAUUAUUAUUAUUUUAAACGUUUCGUUUAACAGUUUAGAAUUUAUCUCACCCCGUCUACAUUAACCUCAUAAGGCUAAAUUAAGAUAUCCUAGAUUUUUCUUUAAAUAUCUUAGACGUAAUUCAUUAAAUAUAAGUUUUACAUGACCAAUACUUCAAUUCUAACAAUUACUUUAAAUUGGGUCCUGAAUUUUAAUAUCCAUGAUAACCUAUAAAAAUGGACUAGUUAUAUUCAAAAUUUAUUUAUUAAACAUUUAUUUAUUUUAUCUUAUAUUUGGUUAACAUCUAAAUUAUCCCUUUUUCCUCUUUGAGUUAGAGCAAUGGUUGGCCAGAAGGCCAACCAUUUCCUUUUUGACCAUAGUCGCCAGACGUUCUGGCAACCCUUUGUUUUCAUUGGUUGGCCAAAAAGGCCGGAAACGGCCAUGAUUUGGCCUCAAAAUUUUGUGCGGUUCAGAUCACGUCUUGUAACUCGAUUUUCACGCCAAAUGUGGGACCCACAAAAAUUGUUUUAAAGUUACGUCGUGUGCAAAGAAAGUUAUACCGUGUGCAAUUAAUGUUACUCACAGUGCAAAAUAUACAUAACCUGCAACCGUUUGUGCCCUUUGUCCCAAAAAGGCCAACCAUCUUUCUCCCUUUUUUUUUUUGAAAAAAAAAAACAAAUUUCCUUUGGGUUAGACCCAUCAGCCAACCAUCCUUGACUUGGUUGACCGAUGGCCAAUUCUUUCAUUGGGGUCAUUUGUGAUCCCAAGGCUUUCUGCCGUUGCUGGCUAUUGUCAACAACACAUGUGGCAUUUUUUUGUUUUUUUUUCUUUCUGUUUUUCCUCCAACAGAUUUGGGCAACCUUAUUUAACCAAAGAUUAAAAUCGAACACCCUAUUUCUACGAAUCCACAUAUGAAUCUUCCUAAAAACAUAUAUAUCUACAUAUAUAUAGCAACCAUACAUAUCCGUAAAAUUUCUAAGGCCAUUAAUGUAACUACUAAAACUUAAAAGAGAAGUUUUUGCUUGAACUCGGGACUUACAGGUUUGAGUGCUUAGUCGUCUGAUUGAUUGACGGUGUUACCUGCUUCUCCUUCUCUACUCUCUGACGGCUCUUUGUAAAGACUCACAAAAAGAGAAAUUUUUUUUAAUUUAAACUCCAAAUUUUAGCUCAUUUAAUUAUUAUUUUUUUGGCCAAAUACUCCGAUUAUUAUUUUUUAACCUUUUUAGACCUAAUUAAAUGUAUCCAUAGUUUAGUUAUAUUUUUAAAGUGACUCGUUUUGAAAUUUAAUUUCUGAAGGCUCGUUAAGUGAAAAUAGUAAAUACGCGACUGGAGUAAAUAAUCGAUUUAAGAAUACAAUAAGCUUGAAAAAACUGGAGACUUGUGCAUUAGUCUCAAAAUAGGUAUUUUUAUAUUUAACUGUUCAAAUGUUAGUUAGUUAUAUUACCGUUAUAGGAAUUUCUUAGAAAUUUCACUAUCUCGCGCUUAAAUUAGAAAUACGCGUUUUUACGCACGCGAGUAAUUGAGGAACCUUAGGCCAUUAUUUUGGGACUAUUAAGAGUGAAUAAUAAUAAUAUGAAUGCAAGUGCAUUAGAGGUUUAGUACACUAGUGCAAUAAACUCGCAAGGAAUCGAGCCGAAACGCACGCGCACGUGCACUACUUUAGUGGACAACUUUGAGUACAAUUGAGCCACACGUUUAAGCUUACCAUUAGAAGCUCAUACCAUCAGCUUUCCCUUCCUCUAAUACUCUCAAAUAGCCAAGCAGCAAGGGAAGAACAAGACCAGAAAAUUCCUCCACCCUCUCUCCUUAAUUUCUAGCUCAAUUCCCUCCAAAUCUUACAUGCAACCCUCAAAUCACUUGGUGAUCAAGAUAAGCUAGGAAAGGAGCUGCCUCUCACGGUUUUUCUCCAACUCAAAGUGACCGAAAAUUUCUGUCUUGGCUCUCUAAGAAAGAAAGUAAUAAUCAACCACUUAAUUCUUGUUUUAUGGAAGAUAAAUUACACUCAUGAGCUCUUGGAUUCUCAUGGGCAGCUAGCUUUAAAUUGUUGGAAAAUUGGUGAGUGGGUUUUAUGAAAUCCCACAAUGACUUUGAUGAUCUGGUUUGAUAGGAUGGGAUGCUAAUUGUGUUGAUUAAGUGCUAAUUUAGUAGAGUUAAGUGGCAAAAAUAAAAAGGAAGUCAAUUAAGGGAUUGCAUGUGAAGGUGCCGAUUCUGCCCUGCCAUUUUUGUGCAUUUUAGUGUACUUUCUUGAAGUCCAAUUGACUUGUUUUUGAUGCAAAUGUGAAAUAUAGGUUGUAUUUAAAUUUUCCUCCAAAUUUUACGUGAUUUGGGUGAGUGCAUGUUGUGAUUUAGAAAAUCUGACAAAACUGGGAAAUGAUUCCCGUCACUACUGGACAGCCAUUUUGUUUCGGCUAUAAUUCAUUGCUCCGAUGUCGGAAUCGAGUGCCGUUUAUGGUACUGGAAACUAGACAUUCCCAGCUUUCAUUUGGUAUAAAAUGUAACUCCUAAUUCCACCCGAGCACCCCGUACCAACUGUUUAAACAUGACUGUCCUGUUUCUCUGUUUUCUUGGAACGAAGUUCAGAAGCUACAACUUGAGGCUCCAAUUUGAGCUAGUUGUGUGCUGAAUUUCAAAAUGAUUUCUUCUGUGAAAUUAUAGCUUUAUGAAUUUAUUUUCCAACGCCACCAACCAUGCUCAAUUCUGAGUUGAAUUGAGUGAUUUGUGAUCAAAAUAUGAAACCUGCUCUGUCUUUGAAAACUCUAAAUUUUGAGCAGAAUUAAUGUUGGACUUGGUAUGGACUUGCUAAUUGAGUUUCUUGGGGUUAAAACACUUACCAAAUGUACUAUGAAUGUUCUUUAGGCUUUUCCUACACAAAUGAACCAUGUUUGAAGGAUUUUCCUUGGCCAAAUGUUUGGAAUGGAAAACAAAAAGCUCAAGACAGUUUUACCUUAGGAUUUUCCGAAAUUUUGGUUGUUUGGUUGACUACUUUUCCGAAGUUAUUUCUCCAUGAAAUUUGGUAGAGGGACAACCCUUAUAUGGUAGUAUUAUACUGCUAAUUAUGGUAUUAAUCUGAGGCCGAUUCAUGGCUCAAAUAAAUUACCAAAGUUCAUGACUUGAGUUUGAAAAACCCAUGUUUCAGAUGGAAAUUUUGGUAACUUUGAGUUGCCAUAUCUUAGUACUCAAAACUCCAUUUCUCGUUCCACUUGUUUUGUUGUAAACUUGGAUUGCGACUCUAAAAGUGGUCCAAAUUUCAAAAGCUAGUUCCGAUCAAGUGAAUUUUGCCGAAUUUUCAAAGUUGGCCAAAAACUAACCUAAAUCUGCCUUAGGAACCAAAACAGAGACUUUGAGUUUAUUUUUGAAUGUUUUCCAUUUGGAAUCUUAGAAAAGUAUAUUCUAGGAACUUUUAGUACCUUGGAAGAGAUUUUCAACGGUACCAAGUUUUCCAAUUUUCGACCUGUAAAAUGUGAGAUAUGAUUUUUCAAAUGUAUCAUAUCAAAACUGAAAUUUUUCGAAUUCCAAGGAAAUGGAGUUUUCGAGUACUCCUUAUUCCUUCGAUAUUACCUGAAUGAUUUACACUCGAUUUCCAAGAUUAAAACUAAAUUUCAAUUGUACUUUGAAACCCCACUUGAGAGCCUCGAUUUAGGAUAAUUUAGGCUUGUUUCACUACACUUUCUAAAAUUGUACUAUGGUACGAUCUUCUUUAAUAGUAGGGGUUUGUGAAUGAUAGUCUAUUAUUAUUUGCUCAGGUGCACACGAGAACCUUCAAGAGGAUCCCACAGUGAACGCCUAAAGCUCCGAGAGACUUUUCUUCCUCAUUACUUAUAUUGGUGAGUGUCAAGUGCAUGUUUACUUGCACUUCGCUUGAGAUUUGUUGCCUACAUGAACUCUACUUGAACCUGUUGUUACUUGAACUGUACUUGUUGGGGAAAGUGUGUACUUUACCGCACUUUAUCUCCUUUACUUGGAUCAAUACAUGACUUGCUACAUGAAUUACAUGAAACUGCUGGAUUUUACAUGUACAUGACCUAAAGUCGAAUGCAGAGAAAAUCUCAUCGACUAAAACUUGAUUUGUUUCUGAAGACCUGACUUGUGGGGACGCCCAAAACCCAAUGGUUAUAUCUCGUAAUCUCGCAGCCAAUCGUGAGGUCUUGGUCGGGAGAACUUGGUAAAUCGUGGGACCUGAAACUUGAUCUUUUGAGAUCUUACUUGGCAUACUGGUAUAGUAUCGCCUUUACAUGCCUGUUGGUUAUGGAUCCGAGGGGGUGAAAUGAUGGAUGGAGGGAAGUAAGUGGAGAACUACGGAUUGGAAAUACCAACUCGGUUGACGGAGAGUCAUCGCGGGAAGGUAUACGAAUGACCCUGGCAAUGCAAGUGGAACUUAACUCUUAAGAGCUACCGUAUUCUUGAAUUAUUUUUGUUUACAUUCCAUUUGAAUUGGCAAUUACUUGUACUUUAUUAUUUGACCUGUUAAUUGGGCUUGUUAUUUGAACUAUGUGAUUACAUGUGUGUCCUUGGCCUCACGAGCGUUUUGCUCACCCUGUAGAUUUGUUUUCCUUAACAGGAUUUGGCAUGGAAUGGUACUUGGAGGAACUCUUUUGAUACACUUCUGGCUCAGGGCUUUAACAUAUUUUGGGCUAGACCUCUUACUGGUUGUACUUCGGAAACCUAAUAUGUGGGUUGGAUAUUUGAUGUGCCAGGAUGUAGUAUAUUUUGGGUAUUGAUGUACCUUUUGAGAAUUUAAUGUAAUGAUUGGAUAAACGUUAUGGAUAUUGUUAAGAUUGGAAGUUUUCCGCACUUUCUUACUUAUCUAGUAUUGUUGAAUGAUUUUGCUUUAAGUUUGGAUGGAAACUGCUUGAGUCCUGCCGAGAGUUGGGCGGACGUCCCGCGGAUACCCUCUGCUUCGCCUUAGGGAGAAGUGGGAGCGUCACAGUUGGUAUCAGAGUACUAGAUUAGAUAUCUAUAUAGGAGACAUACUAGAUACUCUACCCUUAAGAUCUGAGACCGGACGACUUAGUCAUACCUUAAGUAAAAUUUGGGUGAACUAGUGACUGAGUUGGACAUACCCUAAGUGACAUUCGUGCGAGUUAGCGAUUAAGGUUCUAACCAAAAAAUGUAAUUAUUUUGCAGGGAUGGAAAAUGGAAUCGGAGCCCCGACAACUAACAGGAAUGGCCAUGCUAAUGGUCAUAUAGAACUUUCUAGGCCCAUUUACUACCGAGCUAUUAGGGGAGGAGCUCGUGUGCGAUAUACGCCUUAUGAUAGAUAUCCUCGUUGCCCAUGUAGGGUGACAUUUGCCUACCCGAACCACAUUGUGCUAGCAUUGGACGACGAGCGUCGUCAGUUGGUGACUGCCAACUUAGACCUAUAGGCAGAGGUGGAUGAGAUUAGGCAGAUGGUUAGUGCUCAGGGCGAGAGGAUCGCUGAACUUGAGAAGUUAGUACAGGGCGAUGUGGUCUCAGCUGCAGUUGUUCGUGAGAAACUCCAGAGUACUAGGGCUCGACUCACUGGAUUAGGAGAGGAGGUCCAUGAUCAGGCUUCCGGGAUCAUGGCUGAUGCCACUGAGAUGAUAGAGGAAGUGGCGGAUAUAGUUCAGAGUCCGGUCCAGGAGGAGGAUCCUGAGAAGGAUUCGGAGGAGGAUCCUGAGGAGGAGAUCCCGCCUGGCAGUCCUGCUGUGGAUUAGGCCCCUAGUGAUCGACUCUUUUGCCCUUUUGACUUGUGUAGAUAGGAUUAGUAGGGGUGAUGCUAAGUACUGAGGUCAUUAUAUUUUGCAUGACUGUGUGGCCAAUUUUUGUGGCACUUGUUUUUACUAUAGUUUUCUGUGACUAAAAGUACUGUUGUAUCCCUUGCGUACUAUAUUUUUGUAAUAUCCCCAUGACUUGCUAGUUGUAUGAACCUGAAGUGAUAAUGAAUGUAAAUUACUGUUAUUUUCAAUGCUUUCGUGAUUGGUUCUUGUUUUAAGCAUUUUUUCGCGAAAUUGAUUCAUUUCUUGCACUAAACAUACCUAGGAUAAUGGACGGACGAAGGAGUGGUCGAGACUGUGGGCAAGGAAUUGGACAGGUCCAAUCUCUUGGAGAUGACCAAGGAUCGGCAACUGGACCGACCCAAGGCCCGAAAAAUAUUGAGGAAAAUCAAGUGGCUACUGCCAUCAAUAGGAUGACUGACAUCCUAGAACGCUUAGUUGAUAGGCAAGGUGCUAGACCACUUAACCAACUUGGGAAACGGGAAAGAGGAGAGGACCGAGCCUUAGAAAGAUUUUUGAAGUUUAAUCCGCCUAAGUUCAUAGGUGAACCCGAUCCUGAGGUGGCGGAGAAUUGGUUGGAAAGAAUGACCGGUAUAUUCGCCGCCUUAGACUACACUGAGGAUAGACAAGUGAAUUUUGCCAUUUUCCAAUUCGAGAGAGUGGCUCGUGCUUGGUGGGACAUGAUAAAAGGAAAAUGGGAGAGAGUUCAAACCCCUUAGACUUAGGAGAAUUUCACGAGGGAGUUUAAUGAAAAAUUUCUUCCAUCUCUGAUUCAAAAAAAGAGAGAUGAUGAAUUCAUUAAGUUGAAACAAGGGAUCCUUAGUGUAGUUGAGUACGAAGGAAAAUUUACUAAAAUUUCUAAGUAUGCCCCUGAAUUGGUAACCAAUGAAAGGAAGAGAAUAAGGCGAUUUGUGCAGGGACUUAACGUAGAAAUUCAUGAGGGUUUGACUGCAGCCCAAAUCUCCACCUUUACUGAGACUUUAGAGAAAGUGCAACGAGUGAAAACUGCAAGAAUGCAAGUUAAAAACUUUCACAAUAGGAAGAUGAAUUUUUCUAGUCGUACUUCUGGACAGACUAGUAAGAGUUUACAGGCUUCUAAAGUUGGAAGAGGAAUGGGAAGAAUAAAAACUAUUGGACCUUCUAGGAGAGCUUUAUCCAGAAGAGGUCGUAGUGGACCGGUUCAUAUUAGGGGAGCGCCUUCUAGUGGUUCAGCCGUGACCCCUCAAGUCACUUGUGGAUACUUGGAAAACCCAACCACUUUGAGAAUGAAUGUUGGAGGAAGUUUGGGAAGUGUUUGGCUUAUGGUAGCACGGAGCACCAACUUGUGAACUGUCCAAGUAAAACGAAAAUUGGAGGUAACACUCAGAGGUCAGAAAAGUCAACCUCCAAACAGACCAGUGUUGGAGGAAGUCGACCUAAGGUACCGGUUAGGGUUUAUGCGCUGGAUCAUCAGCAGAUACCAGAUGCAACUGAGGUGGUUGAAGGUACGGUUCCUAUCUUCCACCGUUUAGCUAAGAUUUUGAUUGAUCCGGGUACGACUCAUUCUUUUGUAAAUUCUAAUUUUGUGAAUGGAAUAGACUUGAAGUCAAUUAAGUUACCUUAUGACUUGGAAGUUAAAACGCCUACUGGAGACAAAAGUUUAAUUGCUAACCUGGUGUAUAGGGAUUGUGAAAUCUGUGUUGGGGAACAAAAAUUGUUGGCCGAUUUGAUAGGCUUAACAAUUAAGGGGUAUGAUGUGAUUUUAGGGAUGGAAUGACUAGCCCGUUAUAAUGUCCAGUUAAAUUGUAGGACAAAAAUUGUAAAAUUGGGUAUUCUAGGGGAGGCAACCCUGAAGCUGGAUGUGAGGGGUAAGUUGACUUCAUCUGCACUUAUUUCAGGAAUUCGGGUUAGAAGAUUAUUAAGUAGAGGAGUUCAAGGAUAUUUGGCCUUCCUUAUCAACACCCCUAAUGAUAAGGUGAAUUUGGAAAACAUGCAUGUAAUGAAAGAUUUUAUAGAUGUUUUUCCUGAAGAGUUAGAGUCUUUGCCCCCGGAACGGGAUAUAACUUUUAAGAUUGAUUUGACUUCGGGAGUAACACCUAUCUCUAAGACGCCAUAUCGAAUGGUUCCAGCCGAAUUGAAAGAAUUAAAAUUACAACUACAGGAUUUGUUGGAAUGAGGUUUUAUAAGGGAAAGUGAUUCAUCGUUGGGAGCCCCGGUUUUAUUUGUUAAAAAAAAAAGAUGGGAGUUUGAGACUGUGUAUAGAUUACCGAGACUUAAAUAAUGUCACAGUUAAGAAUAAGUACCCACUGCCCCACAUUGAUGAGUUGUUUGAUCAAUUGCAAGGGGCGAUAGUAUUCUCGAAGUUGGAUUUGAGACAGGGUUACUAUCAAUUGAAAAUUUUGGAAAAGGAUAUUCCCAAGACUGCUUUUAACUCGAGAUACGGGCACUUUGAAUUUGCCGUAAUGCCGUUUAGGUUAACGAAUGCACCUUCUGCUUUCAUGGAUUUGAUACAUAGGAUUUUUAAAUCUUAUUUGGACCAAUUUAUCGUGGUCUUUAUUGACGAUAUUUUGGUGUAUUCUAAGAAUAUAGAGGAUCAUGAGAAGCACUUGAGGAUUGUUUUGCAAACUCUAAGGGAGCACCAAUUGUAUGCUAAGUUUUGCAAGUGCGAGUUUUGAUUAAAAGAAGUGACUUUCUUGGGACACAUAAUUUUUAAGGAUGGGAUUAAAGUGGAUCCAGCUAAAGUUGAAACUGUUUCAAAGUGGAAACGACCGGAAAACCCUACUGAGAUUCGAAGUUUUAUCGGAUUGACAGGGUAUUACCGGAGAUUUAUCCAGAAUUUUUCUAGGAUCGCUGGAUCCAUGACUGAGCUGACCAAGGAAAGUGAAAAAUUUAUUUGGAGUCCUAAAUGCGAAGAGAGCUUCUAGGAAUUGAAAAGACGUUUGACUUGGGCGCCAGUGUUAGCCCUACCGAACGGAAAAGAUAGAUUUGUGGUCUACACAGAUGCUUCCAAGGAAGGAUUAGGCUGUGUUUUAAUGCAAAAUGACAAAGUGAUAGCCUACGCCUCUAGGAAAUUAAAAUUACGUGAAGGAAAUUACCCGACCCAUGACUUAGAGUUAGCGGCUAUGGUAUUUGAUUUAAAAAAAUGGAGGCAUUACCUAUACGGGGUGACAUUUGAGGUUUUCACUGAUCACAAAAGUUUUAAGUACUUAUUUUUUCAGAAGGAGUUGAAUUUAAGGCAACGUAGAUGGAUGAAAUUUCUAAAAAACUAUGAUUGCACGAUAAAGUAUCAUCCAAGAAAAGCCAACGUAAUGGCUGAUGCUUUAAGCCGUCAAGUACAAGUGGUCAGAUUGAUAAUUAAGGAGCUUCACUUGUUAGAAGAAAUUAGUUAUUGGAAUACUCGAUUGGAGUCGAGAAAAAUAGUCCUUGGGAACAUUGUAGUGAAUUCCACCUUGAUGGGACGUAUUAAUGAGUCCCAGGAAAAGGACCCUGAAGUGCAAAAGUGGGUAGAAAGUGUCAAAGAGGGAGAAAAAUCUGAUUUUAGUUUGGGAUCAAAUGAAAUUUUGAAGUUUCAGAAUCGGAUAGUGGUGGCAAAAGAUGAAGGGCUUAAGAAGGAAAUUUUAGAGCAGGCACACCGAUCGAAAUUUACGGUACACCCUGGAGGGAAUAAAAUGUACCAAUAUUUGAAGAGAUUGUAUUGGUGGGAGAGCAUGAAAAAGAAAAUUACCCAAUUUGUCCAAACCUGUUUAAUUUGUCAACAAGUUAAAACCGAACAUCAGAAACCAUCAUGACUUUUGCAACCUUUGGAAAUACCUGAGUGGAAAUGGGAGAACAUCACUAUGGAUUUCGUAUCAGAAUUACCGAGGACACAAAGAGGCCAUGAUGCUAUUUGGAUAAUAGUGGAUAGAUUGACUAAAUCGGCUCAUUUUCUACCGAUUAACAUGAGGUACCCAUUGGAGAUGUUGGCCAAGUUAUAUUUGGAUGAAAUCAUUAGAUUACAUGGAAUCCCUGCCAGUAUCAUGUCGGAUAGAGAUCAAGAUUUGUUUCGAGGUUCUGGCAAAAAAUGCAAGAGGUGUUGGGGACUAAAUUGAGUUUCAGUACUAUUUACCAUCCCCAAAUUGAUGGACAGUCCGAGCGGAUGAUUCAAACCCUUGAGGAUAUAUUGAGGACGUGUGUGUUGGAUUUUGGGGAGAGUUGGAACAAGUAUUUAACUUUGGUAGAAUUUGCUUAUAAUAAUAGUUACCACUCUUCUAUUCAAAUGCCCCCGUAUGAAGCACUUUAUGGUCGAAAGUGUAGGUCUCCGAUUUGUUGGGACGGAGUAGGUGAACGAAAGAUUUUAGACCCGACUAUAGUGCCGUGGGUUGAGGAAACCAAUGAGAAAGUAAAGUUAAUACGUCAGAGAAUUCAAACCGCACAAAGUCGUCAAAAGAGUUACACAGAUAACCGGAGGAAGGAUUUAGAAUUUGCGGUUGGAGACCUAGUAUUUCUCAAGAUCAUACAUUUGAAAGCGAGAUUGAUGUCUGGAAAGGGGAAGAAAUUACAACUAAGAUUCGUAGGGCCUUAUAAGAUUAUCCAGCGUGUGGGGAGUGUAACCUAUAAGUUGGAAUUGCCACCAAGUCUAUCUCGGAUCCAUAAUAUUUUUCAUGUAUCCAUACUUAAGAAGUACCAUCCAGACCCUUCUCACAUUUUGCAAUCGAAAAAUAUUGAGAUUAAUGAAAUUUUGACCUAUGAGGAGAGACCGGUGAAACUUCUGGAUAGAAAGGUGAAAGAAUUAAGAAAUAACCAGAUACCUUUAGUAAAAGUUCUCUGGAAGAACCACGAGUUAGAGGAAGCGACCUGAGAAAUUGAAGAGGCAAUCCGAGGAAAGUAUCCAGACCUGUUUGCAGAUCAAGGUAAAAUUUCGGGGACGAAAUUUUCUUAAGGGGGAGAGGAUGUAAAGACUCACAAAAAGAGAAAUUUUUUUUAAUUUAAACUCCAAAUUCUAGCUCAUUUAAUUUUUUUUUGACCAAAUGCUCCGAUUAUUAUUUUCUAACCUUUUUAGACCUAAUUAAAUGUAUCCAUAGCUUAGUUAUAUUUUUAAAAUGACUCGUUUCGAAAUUUAAUUUCUGAAGGCUCGUUAAGUGAAAAUAGUAUAUACGCGAUUGGAGUAAAUAAUCGAUUCGAUUAUACAAUAAGUUUGGAAAAAUUGGAGACUUGUGCAUUAGUUUCAAAAUAGAUAUUUUUAUAUUUAAGUGUUCAAAAGUUAAUUAGUUAUAUUACCGUCAUAGGAAUUUCUUAGAAAUUUCACUAUCUCGCGCUUAAAUUGGAAAUACGUUUUUUUACGCACGCGAGUAAUUGAGGAACCUUAGGCCAUUAUUUUGGGACUAUUAAGAGUGAAUAAUAAUAAUAUGAAUGCAAGUGCAUUAGAGGUUUAGUGCACUAGUGCAAUAAACUCGCAAGGAAUCGAGCCGAAACGCACGCGCACGUACACUACUUUAGUGGAUAGCUUUGAGUACAAUUGAGCCACACAUUUAAGCUUACCAUUAGAAGCUCAUACCAUCAGCAUUCCCUUUCUCUAAUACUCUCAAAUAGCCGAGCAGCAAGGGAAGAACAAGACCAGAAAAUUCCUCCACCCUCUCUCCUCAAUUUCUUGCUCAAUUCCCUCCAAAUCUUACAUGCAACCCUCAAAUCACUUGGUGAUCAAGAUAAGCUAGAAAAGGAGCUGCCUCUCACGAUUUUUCUCCAGCUCAAAGUGACCAAAAAUUUCUGUCUUGGCUCUCUAAGAAAGUAAGUAAUGAUCAACCACUUAAUUCUUGUUUUAUGGAAGAUAGAUUACACUCAUGAGCUCUUGGAUUCUCAUGAACAGUUUUAAAUUGUUGGAAAAUUGGUGAGUGGGCUGUAUGAAAUCCCACAAUGACUUUGAUGAUCUGGUUUGAUAGGAUGGGAUGCUAAUUGUGUUGAUUAAGUGCUAAUUUAGUAGAGUUAAGUGGCAAAAAUGAAAAGGAAGUCAAUUAAGGGGUUGCAUAUGAAGGUGCCGAUUCUGCCCUGCCAUUUUUGUGCAUUUUAGUAUACUUUCUUGAAUUGCAAUUGACUUGUUUCUGAUGCAAAUGUGAAAUAUAGGUUGUGUUUAAAGUUUCCUCCAAAUUUUACGUGAUUUGGGUGAGUGCAUGUUGUGAUUUAGAAAAUCUGCCAAAACUGGGAAAUGAUUCCCGUCACUACAGGACAGCCAUUUUGUUUCGGCUAUAAUUCAUCGCUCCGAUGUCGGAAUCGAGUGCCGUUUAUGGUACUGGAAACUAGACAUUCCCAGCUUUCAUUUGGUAUAAAAUGUAACUCCUAAUUCCACCCGAGCACCCCGUACCAACUGUUUAAACAUGACUGUCCUGUUUCUCUGUUUUCUUGGAACGAAGUUCAGAAGCUACAACUUGAGGCUCCAAUUUGACCUAGUUGUGUGCUGAAUUUCAAAAUGAUUUCUUCUGUGAAAUUAUAGCUUUAUGAAUUUAUUUUCCAACGCCACCAACCAUGCUCAAUUCUGAAUUGUUCUGAGUUGAAUUGAGUGAUUUAUGAUCAAAAUACGAAACCUGUCCUGUCCUUGAAAACCCUAAAUUUUGAGCAGAAUUAAUGUUAGACUUGGUAUGGACUUGCUAAUUGAGUUUCUUGGGGUUAAAACACUUACCAAAUGUAUUAUGAAUGUUCUUUAGGCUUUUCCUACACAAAUGAACCAUGUUUGAAGGAUUUUCCUUGGCCAAAUGUUUGGAAUGGAAAACAAAAAGCUCAAGACAGUUUUACCUUAGGAUUUUCCGAAAUUUUGGUUGUUUGAUUGACUAUCUUUCCGAAGUUAUUUCUCCAUGAAAUUUGGUAGAGGGACAACUCUUAUAUGAUAGUAUUAUACUGCUAAUUAUGGUGUUAAUCCGAGGCCGAUUCAUGGCUCAAAUAAAUUACCAAAGUUCACGACUUGAGUUUGAAAAACCCAUGUUUCAGAAGGAAAUUUUGGUAACUUUGAGUUGCCAUAUCUUAGUAUUUAAAAUUCCAUUUCUCAUUCUGCUUGUUUUGUUGUAAACUUUCAAAAGCUAGUUCCAAUCAAAUGAAUUUUGCCGAAUUUUCAAAGUUGGCCAAAAACCAACCUAAAUUUGCCUUAGGAACCAAAACAGAGACUUUGAGCUUAUUUUUGAAUGUUUUCCAUUUGGAAUCUUAGAAAAGUAUAUUCUAGGAACUUUUAGUACCUUGGAAGAUGUUUGUAACGGUACCAAGUUUUUCAUUUUUUGACCUGUAAAACGUGAGAUAUGAUUUUUCAAAUGUAUCGUAUCAAAACUGAAAUUUUCGGAAUUCCAAGGAAAUGGAGUUUUCAAGUACUCUUUAUUUCUUCGAUAUUACUUGAAUGAUUUACACUCGAUUUCCAAGAUGAAAACUAAAUUUCUCUUGUACUUUGAAACCCCACUUGAGAGUCUCUAUUUGGGAUAAUUUAGGCUCGUUUCACUAGACUUUCUAAGAUUGUACUAUGGUACGAUCUUUUUUAAUAGUAGGGGUUUGUGAAUGAUAGUCUAUUAUUAUUUGCUUAAGCGCACACGAGAACCUUCAAGAGCAUCCCACAGUGAACGCCUAAAGCUCCGAGGGACUUUUCUUCCUCAUUACUUAUAUUGGUGAGUGUCAAGUGCAUGUUUACUUGCACUUCGCUUGAGAUUUGUUGCCUACAUGAACUCUACUUGAACCUGUUGUUACUUGAACUGUACUUGUUGGGAAAAGUGUGUACUUUACCGCACUUUAUCUCCUUUACUUGGAUCAAUACAUGACUUGCUACAUGAAUUACAUGAAACUGCUGGAUUUUACAUGUACAUGACCUAAAGUCGAAUGCAGAGAAAAUCUCAUCGACUAAAACUUGAUUUGUUUCUGAAGACCUGACUUGUGGGGACGCCCAAAACCCAAUGGUUAUACCUCGUAAUCUCGCAGCCAAUCGUGAGGUCUUGGUCGGGAGAACUUGGUAAAUCGUGGGACCUGAAACUUGAUCUUUUGAGAUCUUACUUGACAUACUGGUAUAGUAUCGCCUUUACAUGCCUGUUGGUUAUGGAUCCGAGGGGGUGAAAUGAUGGAUGGAGGGAAGUAAGUGGAGAACUACGGAUUGGAAAUACCAACCCGGUUGACGGAGAGUCAUCGCGGGAAGGUAUACGAAUGACCCUGGCAAUGCAAGUGGAACUUAGCUCCUGAGAGCUACCGUAUCCUUGAAUUGUUUCUGUUUACAUUCCAUUUGAAUUGGCAAUUACUUGUACUUUAUUAUUUGACCUGUUAAUUGAGCUUGUUAUUUGAACUAUGUGAUUACAUGUGUGUCCUUGGCCUCACGAGCGUUUUGCUCACCCUGUAGAUUUGUUUUUCUUAACAGGAUUUGGCAUGGAAUAGUACUUGGAGGAACUCUUUUGAUGCACUUUUGGCUUAGGGUUUUAAUAAAUUUUGGACUAGACCUCUUAUUGAUUGUACUUCGGAAACCUAAUAUGUGGGUUGGAUAUUUGAUGUACCCGGAUGUAGUAUAUUUUAGGCAUUGAUGUACCUUUUGGGAAUUUAAUGUAAUGAUUGGAUAAACGUUAUGGAUAUUGUUAAGUUUGGAAGUUUUCCGCACUUUCUUACUUAUUUAGUAUUAUUGAAUGAUUUUGCUUUAAACUUGUUUGGAAACUGCUUGAGUCCUGACAAGAGUUGGGCAGACGUCCCGCGGAUACCCUCUGGUUCGCCUUAAGGAGAAGUGGGGGCGUCACACUCUUGUUCUAGGAGAGGCAGACGAAAGAAAGGUGGGGUUUGUGUGUUAUUUUUCUUCCCAUGCUUUCGAUAAAAUCCUAAACCCUGGCACUAACCACUAGUAGGUGGUUUAGAAAAGAGUUUAAGUUUAUUAUGAACUCUUAUCCCAUCCUAUAGUUAUUUUAUUUUAUUUUAUUUUUUCUUUUACCCUAGUAAUUUUAGAUUCUUAAUUAAUUGGAAAAUAAAAACAAAAUAAUAUAAACAGGUGCCAAAAAACGUGGAUUUUAUAUUCUCCCCCCCUUACAAAAAGUUUCGUUCUCGAAACUUACGUACCUUGAUAAAAAAGAUAUGGGUAUCUAUUCCGCAUGUCCUCCUCUAACUGUCACGUUGCCUCUCGUGGUGUAUGGUUCGUCCAUUGCACCUUCACGUAGGAUAUGGUCCUCUUCUUUAGAACUUGAUUUUUCCGAUUUAGGAUUCUUAAAGGAACUUCCUCCACUGAUAAAUUACUUCUCACCUCAAUGGGUUAGUCCUCCAAAAUAUGGCUCGGCUGUGAUACAUACUUUCUCAGUUGAAAAAUAUGAAAAAUAUUAUGUAUCCUUGCCAAAGGCGACAGGAGAGCCAACCGAUACGCUAGAGGUCCAAUUCUAUCUAGUAUUUCAUAAGGUUCUACAUACCUCGGAUUUAACUUGACACUUCGUCCAAAUCUCAUCACUCCCUUGGUAAGGGAUACUUUCAAAUAUACCUUUUCUCCCGGUUGGAACUCCAAAGGUCUCCUUUUUGAAUCCGUCCAACUCUUGUUUCGGUCUUGAACUACUUUUAAUCUUUUCCGAAUAAUCUUAAUUUUCUCUAAAGUUCGUUCCACCAAAUCGAGGCCAAUGAUCAGUUUCUCACCUACUUCAUCCCAAUAUAAGAGAGAUUUACAUUUUCGCCCAUACAGUCCUUCAAAUGGUGCCAUACCUAUCCUGCUAUAAUAGUUAUUAUUGUACAAAAAUUCCAUUAGUUUCACCAACCUAUCCCGACUAUCCGAGAAGUCUAGAACACAAGCUCUUAGCAUGUCCUCCAAUGUCUGUACGAUCCUUUCUGACUAUCCAUUCAUUUGGGGGUGGAAAGCGGUAUUUAAUCUUAGGUAUCAAUCCCUAUAAUCUCUUGGUAGGAUGACCAAAAUCUAGACGUGAAUCUAGGAUCCCGAUCCGACACUACUCUCACAAUUCAUUUUUAGACUAGAUAUCACAUUCUCUACCCUUUUAAAGGUUUCGUCCUCGAAACCUAAAGACAUAAACAUCAAGAUAAGUUAACAAAAUUUCCAAUGUUCUUGCAAUAUAUCUUGGGAAUUAUUUCUACAAUGUCUAAAUUGAAUUUUCUUAUUUAAUUCUAUCAAACUUCUGCUGCACACUCUUAUAUUUCUCAAUACCUCCCGUCUUCAUAUUUAUAUAGUUCAGAUGAACAUAAUAUCUCUCACAAAUCUAGCAUUCUAAAUAUCAGCUUAUAAUGCUUUAUAGAGAUCGACCUAUAGAAAGGAUGCCGUAGACAAUAACAAUACCAUUUUUUCUCUUGUCACACAUUUUAUCAUCAAUUACUUAUCCCCUAUUGCAAAAGUAAUCCUUAUCUCGAUAUAUGGAUUCAUGCCCACUGUGUUUGUAAUUGGUAAUGGAAAUCCCUUAUUUCCCUCAAGUCUCAUAUCUAUCUCAUUUCAAAUUUCAAAAAGGUCAAUAAUUCCUCAAAUAGCAUCACUCAUAUUUCCAAAUCCUAUAACCUGAGUUAUUAUACCAUUAAAUGCCAUGGGAAUCUGUGAGGACCCGUAAAUUUUCUUUAUUUCACAAUAUUUUAUUUUAUUUUUCUCGCAUGCAUUUUCUUCAUUAAACCCUAUUAUGUUGAUUUUUCAAAGAUUUUUAUAAGUGAGUAUAGGUUUUAAAUCAUUUUCAUAAGAUAAGUUAGUUUAUGAUAAGUUUGAAGUGCGUUAUAGAUGUGGAACCCGCUAGUACGCUAAGUGCGAUAAAUUUUUAACAAUUAAUUGAAGUUUUGUAUUAAGAAAUGUUAUUUUACCAGGUGUUAGGAGAUAAUUCAAGGUUAACUAGAUUAAUUUGUAUUGGGAGACAAGAGGAUGAGAAUAACGUUAAAAUGUGCUAGGUGUCGCGAUCCGAUUGGAGUUGGACUUUGGCUUAACUUUCUUACCUUUACUAAAUACCAAAAAUUUGACCAAAAAUAUCCCAUUUCUUCUUCCUUCUUGGCCGAACACUUGAGAGAAAGAAAGAGAGGAAAAGUUUCAUCUUCAACUUCAAACCCAAGCCAAAUCUUAAGUUCCAACCAUUAGAAUCUCAAAUUACUCCAUAGAAAUUUCUUGCUAGGGAGGAUUAAGGAGGUUGGUGGAGUUGUUUUGGAAAGGGAAAACUAAGUUGCUAGCUUUCUUGAGUUUUUGAGGUAAGUUGCUAAGAAAGUUUCCUCUUUGCUUUCAUAAUGGUUGAUUAGUGGGUAGUAAUGGCUAAAUAGAUUAUUUUGUGGAAGAUUUUAGGGUUUAAAGUAGAGUUUGACAAAUUUUAGAAUUUUUGGUGAUUUUUCUGAUUUUAUAUGAUGAUUAUUGUUGGGAUAUGGAAUGAUAGCUUAAUAUGAUGUGAAAUGAAGCUUUGGUAUGUUAGUUUUGAUUGGCUAAAGAAAUUUCAGCUAGAGUGCAUAAAUUCCAGUUUAGGGUUUCAUCUUACCCUGUUCUGCCCGGUUUUGUGCGGCCAUGAUAGAGGCUGAAUCAGCCUUAGGUUAAAACAUGAAAGUUGUAGAAAAUGAUGUUUUAUAGUUUUCUAUAAAAUUUCAGCUCAAUCCGAGCACAGUAGCUUUUGAAAAGAUAAAAAUACCCUGACUGCCAUAGGUAGAGCUCUGUGGACAGUGUUGACAUUUCACCAAUCUGACUGCGUCUGUUCACCUUGAUCCGUACUGAAUUAGCAUUUGGCCAAAACAUAGAAGUUGUAGUGCUAUGUCUUAGCUUUCCAACGGAUAUGAAAACGCCUCAAUUGGACUUCGGUAACCUAAGUUAUUGUCGUUUAAGUAUCGUGCAGUUAACUAGCCUGAUUGUGAGACUCUAGUUCUAUAAUUUGAAAUUUUGAUCUAGUUACACUACGAACUGGACUGAGUGGUCUUCAUCAAAAUUGUAGCCCUUUAUCUUAGCUUCGAAAUGGUAUAAAUUACACACCAAUUCGAUAAGUACAGCUUCGGUUGUGUCCGAUACGCUAAACGACGUCAAAUCUGUCUUUUGUUUUAUGACUUAAACUUCAUUUCCAGACAUUUUUCUAACUUGAUUUUGUACUUGUACGACAUUGAGCCUAUUGAACGGCUAUUGAAAUGAGAUUAUUUUGUGGGUGACAUUGAGGCUGAUUUGAGGAAAAAUGAAGCCAUGGUGGCUGGAAAAGUAAGGAAGUUUAGGGGGAAAUGCUGUCCAAUUUUCUAGACCGUCUGAUUCCUUUAAGUUGGAGUUGCAUUGUGGUAGAAUGAGGGGGUUUGGGGUUAUUUGUAACCCUCGUACCAACUGUUAUCCGUCUGCUCAAAAAAUUACAUUUUAUUCUUUUGUACUAGUAUAUAACUUGGAGAGGCACCCGACUAGUAAUCGAGCCUCAAUUGUGCAUCCCGUUUACUCGGUUUUAGAUAUGGAAACUUCAACUACUUUACCUUUGUUAUUCUUAGGGUUUCACAGUGAUUAAAGUCACUUUGGGUGAAAACUUUUGAAGUAUCCGUACUUGAACUGGUAAGUGUACCACUCCUCUUACUUGUUGUUUAACUUGGUUUCUGUACAUGCAAUCUGUGAUAUGAAUGACUGUACUAUCUGUUUAUUCUGUUUGAGAUGAGAGUAUACUUUAUCACACUCAUUCUCUUGUCUGUUCGUAUGUCAAUUUACUAUGUGAAUUUGAAUAUGUUAUUUGUAUCUGUAUUUGUUCUGACGUCGUGUGGAAAUUUGAAUCCAACGACCCUUCUGUGACCUUUGAGUUCAAAUCCUAUGGUUAAUUUACUUGAGUCGAGCCGGUAAGGGCGUGGUCAAUUAGAUAACGAACCACAGUAGUCUGUUCUAGAAAUCUUUGGAUAUUGAGACUCUUAAUUCCGGUAUACUCGAGUAUUACCACUUCUGUUUCUGUUGAGGUGUUCGUCCCCGGUAAGGGGUAUGUUUGGUGGACAGAAAUUUGUGUAAAGUAGGGUCUACGGAUAUGUUGGUUCUAUUUACGUUGAGGGAGAGUCAACGGGUUCGGAUCAAGUACUGCAAUGGAAAUCUCGUUCCUGAGAGCCACUUGUAUCCUUUCCCUUUGAAUCACUGUGUCUAACUGCUUUUCUUUAUAUCUGGUAUGUGUAUCUGAUUGGUUAAACGUGAAAGGCCAUGAUUUUAUCCCUUUAUGUUUGGUACCUUAUUGAGCGUAAGCUCACCCCUUCCUGUUAUCUUUGUUUUUCCUUACAGGGGACAAACUUGGAAGUCACGGUUUUGGAAGAAAGGAGUCAAGCUAGUAUAUAUGUCAUGUUGUUAAACUCUUUUGAAAACGAAGCCCUAAUUGUAUUUUGUGUAGUAUGAAUACUUUGGAUUGUACUUUUUGUUAAUUUAUUCAAAACUCCGAUGUAAAUACAUGUUUAAAAGUUUAACCUUGUCUAUUAAGUAUAUUCAUUGAGAUGUUACGCUUCUAUGGCUUUGGUGAGUGUUUAAUCGAUGUCCUGUUUCACCACAUGAUUUGGUAAGUUAUAUUGGAGCUUGGCGGUUUUCAUUUGUUCAUUUUCUUUGGGUCCUAUAGCGCGUACUAUAGGGUUUGUGAGAUUCGACUCCGUAGUCCCGGCGAGAGUUGGGCAGGUGGUCUAUCGAAUCCUUUGGUUCGCUUUAGGAAAAGGUGGGGCCAUCACAGAAUCUUAUUUCCUUUGGUAAUUUUUUUCUAGCUCAAUUCAAUUUUCGAAAACAUUAAUACCUCAAAAAUCAUUUCACAAACUUCUUAAUCAUACAAAAAUAUAGAAAAUUUUAUACAAAAAUUAUCACCAAAUCCUCAUAUUGAAAUAUAAUAACUUUGGUAAAAUAUUUAUCUAUGUGUAGAAUUUCAAACUUAUACAGGUUUAGAAAUUGAAAGUGUUUUGAAAUACAUAAGUCAACUAACUAUACUUCUUAUAGCAUUAGAAUUUAGAGUACAAAGAAAAUUUAUCAAGAAUUAUUGUUAGAUUUUUCUAUACGAUAAGAAUUUUUUUUUUUUAGAAUACUUUUAUCUAAAGCACUUUUUGAGAUUGAAUGAGGAUAAAAAAAACAUUUUGCAUAGGAUUACAGGAUAUAAUUAUUUAAUGUAUUUAGACUAUUCUUUUUUUAUAUAAAUAUAUGCAUAUAUAUUUAGAAACUAUAUUUACCAAGCAACUGUAAGGUAAAGGCACAUAUUUAAAAAAAUUUGAUUAAAAACUAUUUGUGCAAAUAAAAUUUUAGUUUCACCGUUUAUUCAUUUUUAGGGAAAAAGUAUGUAAAAUUAUAUGUUGUAAGAAAUUUAUAAAAUAUGUAUUGCUUGAUCAUGAUGUAAUAAUACCCGAACUAAUAAUAUCAGCUAGUUUAAUAAAUGUCUUGAGCAUUAGAUCUAAUUUUUGUAAUCCUCAAAAUAAGUCAACAAAAUUCCAAGAUCCAACAUGUAUUGCACGCGUUCGAUGACAUCAUAUUGUUGAUCAUUCAUACUUUCGUUGUGCACUCUAAUUUCCUCAAUUUUUUCAGUUUUUUCUAUGCUAGACUUCAAUUAGACAUAAGAUUAUCCAUAAAUCUGACAUCCUAAAUGAUAACUUGAAAUGUACUAUAGAGAUCAAAACUUACAAAAAAAAUACCCUAAAUACCCUUUUAUUAUUAUUAUUAUUAUUUUUUGUAAGUGUCAAUUAUAUCUGGCAGGUGGGCUUGAUUACCUUUUCAACUUAACAUAUGCAGAUAGUCACCACUUACUUACCAAAAGUAAUCAUCAUCUCAAUACCUGAGGUCAUUCCAGUAAAUUCGUAACCUAAAAUUCUAAUACCAUUAAAUGUUAUGGAGUCACUUAUUUUCUUUUAAUCCCUUAUCCAUUUCAUUCCAAUUCUCAAAAUCACAAAUAAUUUCAGUAUCUUUACACCUACUUCCAACUAUCACAACUUGAGCUUUGAUACUACUAAAAAGUCACAGCAAUCUCUUAUUUCUUUUGAUUUAUUUUUCCAUCUCCUUUCAAUUUGCAACAGACAAUACUUCAAAUACACAUACUAUUUCCUACACGUCCGAAAUCUUAAAUUUAGAGUGUAUUACCAAAAUUACAUCCAAUAAAAGGACAUCAUAAACACCAAUCGUACCAUUUCAACUAUUCGCACAUGCAAAUUUUCAAGCCUAUUUAUUUAGUCACAAUGGAUCAUUUCCUAGGGUAUACUUUAUCUUUCUCCCUUUAAAAAAAAAAAAAAACAAAUUUCCUUUGGGUUGGACCCAUCGGCCAACCAUCCUUGACUUGGUUGACCGAUGGCCAAUUCUUUCAUUGGGGUCAUUUGUGACCCCAAGACUUUCUACCGUUGCUAGCCUAUUGUCAGCAACACAUGCUGGCAUUUUUUUGUUUUUUUUUUUUUUUCUGUUUUUCCUCCAACAGAUUUGGGCAACCUUAUUUAACUAAAGAUUAAAAUCGAACACUCUAUUUCUACGAAUCCACAUAUGAAUCUUCCUAAAAACAUAUAUAUCUACAUAUAUAUAGCAACCAUACAUAUCCGUAAAAUUUUUAAGCCAAUUAAUGCAACUACUAAAAAUUAAAAGAGAAGUUUUUGCGUGAACUCGGGACUUAAAAGAGAAGUUUCUGAUCGAUUGACGGUGUUACCUGCUUCUCCUUUUCUACUCUCUGACGGCUCUUGCUCUAGGAGAGGCAGGCAAAAGAAAGGUAGGGUUUGUGUGUUAUUUUUCUUCCUAUGCUUUCGACAAAAUCCUAAACCCUGGCACUAACCACUAGUAGGUGGUUUAGAAAAGAGUUUAAGUUUAUUAUGAACUCUUAUCCCAUCCUAUAGUUAUUUUUUUUAUUUUUCUUUUACCCUUGUAAUUUUAGAUUCUUAAUUAAUUGGAAAAUAAAGACAAAAUAAUAUAAACAGGUGCCAAAAAAAGUGGGUUUUACAAGCAAUGAAUACACACAUUCUCUCUCUAUAAAGUGGACUUACCAUAUGUUAUAUUCCAUCAUAAUUAAAAGCUUUGUCAACUUAUGAAAAAUUUGGUCGAUGAGCAAAACCUUAGUUCGUUUACUAGGAGAAAAACUCCAUAACAGAGUUGCAAUUGAAUGCCAAGGAAACAAAGUGCUUGAAAUCCCGUUAUUGUGCCAGAUGCAAGAGGCCUUCCUUUGGUUCUCUCAACCUGAAGUACACAAGAUUUCUUUGUUAUGCAAUGGAUUGCAACGAACGGUAACUCAUUAUUUGGACGCUAAAAAUUAUAUUGAAGAAACGAGCACAGCAUAAGAGGGAAAAUAUCAAAUGUAUAAUUUGAUAUUUCAUCAAAAUUCUACUCCAGUUCUAAGUUCUAACUGGCUUUUGGAAUUUGUGAAAUUCGAUAAUUCGGUAGAUAUGGUUUUGCCCUGGUACCGGUUAUUUGGGUGCUCACAAAAUUCAUGGCCUUGUGUUGGCUAGAUGCAUACUAAAUUUUUCCUUCCUAACUUUCCCAAGGAUAAUACUAUGAUGUAUCAGAAUGACCAAAAAAAAUAAUUGUUUCUCAAAAAGAAAAAAGAAAGGAACAUUAAUCAAAUUGAAAGCCAUCAUCACCUGUGCAUCAAAAUCCUUAUCAAAGUAAUCGUUAAUGGUGCAUGCAAUAUUUCUUGACAGGAAAGACACCAAGAAAAAGAAUGCCAACAUCUUCACAACAGGAAGGCUGCCGGGGUUCACUGCAAAAGCAAGCGACCGCAUACAUGGCCAUGCAAAUCGAAACGUUCCAAUCGGCUUAUCCAAGCGUAUAAGUAGGCAUAAGGCCGAGCUUUUUCAGGAAAUACCCAUUGAAUCCAAGAAGAAGAAGAAGCAGGUUUUUCAUCUUCAUUUUCCCCUAGUGACUUUGAUGAGGUUGAAAAUUGAGGAGCUUGAUUAGAUAAGUUGUAACCUCUACCAAGAAAUCUGGUGCCUUUUAUCCAAGAACGUUUGAAGGUGGCUGAGUUUUCUACACUGGAAGGGUUGAAUUUGGAGAUUGAUUUGGCUGGCUUGAUGGAGGAUUUGGGGAGAGCUAUGGAGGGACGAGGCUGAUGGUUGAAGUUGGAGAUGGGAUAAAUCCCAGAGAAACUUUAAGAGAAUGCCAUGAGAUUGGAAGCUUGGGCCAUUUUGUGAUGGUCCCCAAGAGAAACUGUUGUGAGAGGAUGGUAUGGAAGCUUAGGAGAUUAGCUCUACAAGUACAUAGUUACCAAAUGAAGAUAUGAAAUAAAUAAACAGAUGAAAAUUAUUUAGAAGAAAGUUUGCUAUGUAUUUUUUUGUAUGGCAAACCCUAUAUACAGCGGUGGGAUGCCAGUCCAAAUUUUAUUAAUAAUAAUAGAAAUUCACAGAAUACAAUGAGGGUUGAUCAAGUGUAAUGUCUCCUCUCACCGGUCGAGGCAAAUCACGAAACAACUCAUACAUUGUAGUUACUCCAGAAUCAACUCCAACAUUGGACAAUCUAUCCGGUUUGUUCGCAUCUCGAAAGCAAUGUGAUACCUCCUUAAAAAAACUUCUAGCCUGCAACAAUUCCUGUAAAUCCCUCUGCAAGCUCCACGGACAUCUCGCUCUUCCUUGAACAAUCUGGACAAGUACCAAGGCAUUUGAUUCUAAGUGCAAAGUAAAAUACCCUUGAGCAAGAGCUAACUUAACACCAUAAAGCAGCGCUUUCAACUCUGCCCGUACACUUGACAUCUCCCAAAAAAACAUGAGAAUCCGAGGAGAAUACCCAAAAAAAAGUUUGCCAUGUAUGAAAUCACUUUCACUAGUAGGUCAUUGAUUUUGCUAUUAAAAAAAAAACAAAACAAAACAGUCCAAUGAAUGUUUAGAUUUUGUAAUUUGGGUCAAAAGGUACAUGGUCAAGGUAAUCCAAUAGUUUAACUAAUUGUAGCAAAUGGAUCCACUUUGUACCUUUUGUGUUUAUUAAAAUAGGACGCAUGUGUGGGGAGCUCGCAACCAAAGAAUUUUCAAAAAAGAAGCAUAUGUGGAUGUGGAGGCUGCUACUUCAGGGUCUAGAGGUGUAAAAAGAAGAAAAUUGGCAGCUUAGUUUGGAAUUUGGACCAAAGGCUUUUUUCUUUCUUUCUUUUUUUGGGUAACCAUUGUUGCCGUGAAAAUUUCGAGCUUAAACAAUGUAUCAUAGGAGCAGAACAAAACUAAGAUUAUUCGUGGGUAAAAAUUAAUACGAAUGCUUUGAAUUGUUGGAACAAACAUAAUUCAACAUCUAAAAACGAAGAUAAGACGUUAUUAAUGGGAGAAAUGAGGUAUCACAAAUAUGUGAGGUUCACUCACUAAUGGAUGGUGCAGUUUGGAUCCAUGAUCUCUACAAUUGUUGAAUCUGAGUAACUGCAAGGUCUAAUUGAUGGUUCAGAUCUGAGUAUCGAAUUAAGUGUUGAAAAGAAAUUUUCUUUUAGAGUUUCAGCUUAGAUUUAGGCUAACAUAUAUCAGCUCGCUGAAAUUUCAAGAGAAACCAAAUCCCUGCACUAAUAUUGUUUGUUCCAAUGUUGUGAUCCCUCCCGAAGCUUUACCAUGGCUUGACCAUUUGUCAGGAAUUAUAGUAUUACCUUAGAAUUUAAUAUAUAUUUCAACUCAACAAUUUGUAGUUAAGAAAUCGUCGAAAUAGACCCAAUGAUCAGUUCUUAGAAUCUUGCCCAUCGUUAGGUUAAGAAUUCGAAUCCUAUGCUUGGCAAUCGGUGUGGAGAGGAGUAGAAGGGUAAAAAGGACAAAAAUAUAUAUAAAGAAUUAAGCACAUUGGGACAUUUAAAAGUUUGUGAAAUUUUCAGUUUAUCUUCUUUAUCAUACACUCUUUGAAAAUUUAAGAAGCAAAUUGGGAGCUUUAUAAUCUGAGUUCUGGGAGAUGGGAGUCCUCAAAUAUGAAGGAAUUUUUGCAUGUCUGUUUUACACAUAAAUGACGUUUGGUCUUACCACAAAUUUGCUGCUCCAAAAUUUGAUUUCGGGAGCUUUGCUUAUCCUAAACCGAAGAAAUCAUAUAUCUCAUAUACAUGCUUUAAGAUUUUGGAAUCUACAAUUUUAAUGUCGAAGCAACCUAUUUAAAUUCUCUUUUUUCUUUCCUUUUUGCUGAUGCUCUCCUUUUCUUGUUUUCCUUUCCUUUUUUUUUCCCCCUGUCAUUUUUAGGUUUUCAUUGACAUGAAAUUAGAUAACUCACAAUUGAUCCAAAAAUUGGGCUUUUUGUUGUGUAAGGAAUGAAAACAAAGAUAGUAUUGUGCCUUUUAGCACUUAUGCUUAUGGCAUUUUCCAAGAUGAAGAGUGGACCGAACUCACUCUUCUGUGCUAAUAUGCACGUUUGUAUGAAUUGGACCCUUCUCUAAAUACUGUGCAUAUUUUGAUAUCAUCUAUAAAACUAUCAACAACAAAAAAAAAAAAAAAUCCAAUGAUUGGGCACCCAUGCACAUAUGACACUGAUAUGAAGCUUCUUAACUGGAUUUCAAAUAAGGUGCUUCGAUGGUAAGAUGUUUUCCAAAUAUUAUAAUUCUCAGUUAAUUUCUUGUCAUUUCAAAAACUUUUUCAUCUCUAACAUACAUCAUAUUAUCAAAAAAAAUUCUAUAAUAAUUAUUCUGAAUAAUAUUUCAAAUAAUCUCGUAUCCAAACACACCUUUAAAUGAUGGCUUAUGUUUUGUUUGAUCUUAAACUUCCUAUUGGAACUGUAAGCACAAUAUAACCAUCAUCCACCUCUCCCUUGUGCUAUAUUUCAAUUCAAUUUUCCUUUGCCUGCAAAGUGAAAAAUUACCACAGAAAAUAAAAACAUUUGUGGAAUUUAUGUAAUUUGUUAUUUAUUGUCACUUAUGCCACGCAAACGAGUAAAAAUUAAGCCUUGUUAAAAAAGAAAACCAAAAGACAAAGAAAAGAAUCUUAAAAAGGAAGAGUCCAAAUGAAGGAGCUGGAAAUUGAGCGUAGGAAAAAACAAAAUGUAUUAGAUAGUUGUAAAUACCUUAAUUUAUGACAAGAGUCUUCCAAACAGAAUUGCACUAAAGACAAUAGCACCAAAAUAUCUAUUUGAUGCAAAUCUGUAGAGUGAAAGGAAUAAAAUAAAACUUAGUUAACAGAUUAUAAUAUAAAAUUUAUUCAUAAGAAAUAGAUGCCAAGCAUAGACUUGUGGAUUGAGUUUGUGUAUCUUUAAUUAGACCUUCUUUCUGAAAAUAGGCUAGAUCACAUUUGGGGCUGGAACCAUCAAAUUUUGUUAAAGCACUUUUUCAUUUUUUUUCCAUAUGCCAAGGGAUGUCCAUUUUAAAAGAAUGUUUCUCCCUAUGGGUUAAAAACCAGAAAUCCUAGAGGCUCUAUCUAUAAGUAUCAGUAAGAAGGAUUUUUUUAAAGAGUUUAUUUUAGUGUUAGUGGAAGAACUCAAAAUCGAGAACUUUCGUUUAUACUCCCUCUUCUCGUAUUACUCAACUCAUCCCUCCUUUCCCCUUAGUAAGAACGAUUAGACUACAGACACUAAUACAAUUAGACUUUUUGCCCAUCCAACAAUUCAUGUAUAUUAUCUUUACAAGCUUCAAAAAAUUUAUUAACAUCUGCCCUGGACUUACCAACAAAGAAAAGUAAUUAGCUCAAAAAAUUGUAAGAGAAUGUUCUAUAGCUAUAGGCAAAACAUUAUGAUUUGAGGGCGUGAAAAUUAAAUUUCAGCCUCUUAUAAUUUCCUAAGAGCAUCAAUUAUGGAAAGUCAAAUAAGCAUUAAUUUGAAUUCCUUCAAAUUUUAUCUUCAUUAAUAAUUACCCACUUUCUGAAACAAUCUGCUGGGUUUGAUAAGUCAACAUCCCAAAUCUGCCAAGCUAUUUGACCUGAUGCAGCCGCUAGCAAUACAAAAAAUGGCCAUCCUGUGACACUCGAAAAAUAUAUAAACCUAAAAAUUAGAAUAUCCAAAAAUAAAAUUAAAAAUAAAUAACGCUUCAAAAAGAGCUGAAAAAAUGAGGAACAUAUUGUUGGCCAAAUCUAGAGGUUGAAUAACCAUGAACAUAAAAUGGUCAAAGGAUUGGGAAUAAAAAGUUAAUUUUAGUUAUAAAUUGUACAGAUGAUAUUUAAAAAAAAAAAAAAGAAUUAUCAUAAAUUAUAGUUAACUAAAGAUGAACGAAUAGAAGUAAAUACCAAUGUGAGCGUUAAAUCCAGCUAGAGCAAGACUAGCAAUGGAUGCAACUCCAAAACCAGUAGUCCACAAUUUUGUUGAAUCACCUAAUAGCAAAGCUGUAGAUUUAACACCCACUUUCACAUCAUCUUCUUUAUCCUGUAACCAUCGGCAGCACAUAUGGGUACAAGUCUGUGAGUCAAUGGCUCAAUGCAACCACUAGGAAAAUCAAACUACUCUUUCUAAUAUUGCAUCUUAGAACUUAGAAGACGCUCUUAAAAUUCUCUGCGUUAUCAGGUGUAAGAUUCGAAUUCUGAUAAUUGGGGAUGGGAAGGGGGUGGGAAGGAUGAGAGGGUAAAAUAAUAAUAAUAAUAAAAUAAUUGCGUCAAUAUUGCCAACUAAAUGGAGUUUAAUAGCUUCAAAGAUAUUGAACACGGUAGAAAUAUAUAUAUGCAUUGAUCUUCGGCCAUUUCUUGUGUCACACAUUUUUUUACCAUUUGAAUCUUCGUCAUUUGAAGCGUAUAAAGUAUUUUGUUGGAGAACUUAGGAUCAGGAGUCUCUAAUGUCACAGGCGGGUGAUCGCAGGGUACAGCAUAGAUACUAACAUAAUAGAUGUAGGAACUAAAAUAAUAAAUGCAGAUACUUACACAAGAACAUGUAAAAACACAACAAAUUUUUGGGUAUAAAUUUCAAUGAGAAAGCAAAUUUGUUGUGUUUUUUCACUUUAUUGUAUGAGUAUCUAUAUUUAUUAUAUUAAUAUCUACAUCUAUUAUACCUACAUCUACACUUCACCUUGCUGUCAGUUAGGAGUGUGCAUCGAAUUCGAAAUCGAUAAUUCGGAAGUUUGAAUUUGGAAUUUUUCGAAAUUUUGGUUUCUAAUAAUUCGACUGAAUUCGAUUUCGAAUUCACCAAUUUCGAAUUUGAAUUCAUACCGAAUUGAAUUCGGAAUUCGGUAAAUUCCGAUUUCACCGAAUUCGGAAAAAUUUAUAUAUUAUUAUAUAAUAUAAAAUUUAUACUAUAUAAUAUAAUAUUAUAUAAUAUAAUAUUAUAUAAAUUUUAUAUAAUAUUAUAUAGUAUAAGUUUUAUAUUACAUGUAUAAAAAAUAUAUUUAUAUAUUAAAAACGAAUUUGAAAUCGAAAUCGGAAUUUGAAUUCCGAUUUCGAAUUGUGAAUUCGAAAUUGAAAAUUCCAAUUUGAAAAACUCCAUUACCGAAUUUGAACCAAAUUCGAAAUAUAUGAAUUCGGAAAAUCCGAAUUCAAUUCCGAUUCCCGAUUUACUGAUUUCAAAAAUUCCGAAUUCAAUUCGAAUUCGAUCGGUAAAUCGAAAUUUUUCGAUUUUGCACACCCCUACUGCCAGCAGAGGUCAGAUCCGAGAAUUUGUACCUGAUGUGCAUAUAUUGUAUCCACCUCCAGUGUCCAGAAGAAGCAAGCAACGAGGACCGGGAAGACAAUAGCAGGAUCAAGACUUCCUUUAACAGCAGCCCAUGAGUACAAAGCUCCCCAAUUUGCAGUUAAACCAAGAUGGGCUUGAGGCUGCAUUGAUAUGUUUGAACUUCUCCAUCAGCCCAAUCUUUAUUAAGUAAAGAAUAUUUGGAUCUUGGUUAAUAAUUCAAUUUAAUACUUUAAUUUAAUAUGUUCAGACAUAUUUGAUAAUAAAAAAUAGAACGUCUUAAUUAAUUAAUAGAGUCUAAAUUGUUUAGAUAAAACUUACUCAAACAGUGAGUGAUAAGCUGUUCACUUAUCAAUAUAAAAUACUUUCAAAUGUUAAGAUUUUAGUACCUAACAAUUCAAUAAUUUAACAAAUUUAUAUUUCAAUUUUAUCAAAUGCACCGUCAGACUUAAUGAAGUUCGCAUUGGACAAUCAUGGGGUCUAUCCCAUGGUAACCAACUGUUACUAAUAAAAAAUUUUUGCACAACUAUGCAGUGUGAUCUUUUUUUUUUUUUUUGGGAUAGCCAAACAAAGUGAAUGAAAACUAAGAGAUGUUUUUUAACAUACUAAGACAAUGGAAAUAAUAGGUUUUCUUUUCUUUUUUUUUCGUGUUUAGCAGGGUAAGAAGUGGGGAUGUAGAUGGAAAGAUUGCAAUUCAGGACCUCUAAGCAAUGAAAACAUCAGGUAAAAGGAAGAGAGAGAAAAUAAAGAAAUAAGAAAUGCAAUCAUUAUUUUAUAUUAUUUAUGUACGUUUGAGUUGCAUAAUCGUUCUUUGCAUAUAUAGCCAAUUAUUUUUCUUUCUUUUAGAUGAUCUCAUUUUGUUAUUCGGCUUUAGUUGUAUUUACUUCAACUUACUAGCUAAAGCUUUACCUACAUUGUUGAAAAGAAAACUAAACAGAGUGAAUGAAAACCCAGAGAUUGUUUCAUGAAAAAAAAUAAAAGAAUAAGAUGUUCGAUCAUUUUUUUUAAUUUUAUUUGUGUUCACUUUAGUCGCGUAGUCAUAUUUUGCAAAUAAUUUUUUUUAGAUGAUCUCAUUUCGCUAUUCAGUUUUAUUUAUAUUACUGAUCUGUGGUUUUCCAUCACUUCUGUAUAUUCUUGGCUUGGACCAAAAUAACUACACACAUUCAAUUGAUUUUUUUUUUUUUUUGGGGGAGGUUUGGCAAGAAAGAGAACUAAACUAAGGAAUAGUGUUUUUCCAAUUUUUUUUUUUUAUUAUGAUGGUGUAGAAUGAUGUAUAAUUUCAGCUUAUGGCACUUUGACCAACUAGAUGAAUUUGAAAGCUUUAAAAAAAUUGAAUAAUAUGGUACUGAUAAGCAAAAUUUAUACAUAAUGACCUUUAGAUUAGAUUAAUUAAUGUUCAAGAAUUUGUGUGUGUGUGUGUGUGUGUGUUAAGGUAAAGUAAACUAGAGGCUGGUCUAACUAAUCACUAAUGUUGGAAAAUUUUUAUUAUUUUUUAUAUUGAGGUUGCAAAUUAGUGUUUCUUUCUAUGCACUGCUAUUAUUCCACUUUUAGAAAGUCUAUGUGAAAUCAAGGACUUAUCUAUUUACAUAUCCGGAAAUAGUUUAUCUAAGGAAGAUUAAUAUAAUAAUUUCCUUAACCUGAAAUAAUUGUCUUAAUACUAAUAUCAUUCUAAAAUAAUUGUCUUAACCUGAUUAGCCAUGCCUAGAAAUAUGUAAGCUAUAAUAAUUAGUGAAUCAAAUUUUUAGAAAAUCAUAGAGAACAUUGCAUCAAUAUUGUAUCUAGUGCAAAAGUGUUUCAUCCAAACAAAUGUUUUAGUAUUUAAAGUUUCAUUUUAAAAAAAUUAAAGUUAUUGUGGACGUAAUUUAUGAGAUGGAAAAAAAGAUAACAGAUACAAUACCCAAUAAGUAAUUCUCUUCAUGAGCGGGUAAGUGAAGAUCAACGGCAAGGAUGAAACCCAUAAAAUACGGCUGUAUAUAAACAAAAGACAUAAAUCAACACGUUAGAAUUUCAAGAUGCCCAAAAAAUAGAAAAAGAGAAAGAUCAAAAUUAAUAAUGAAUUAGAACCUAAGCAGCAGUCCAGUAUAUAUUUAACACGAAAUUAAAAUGCAGGAGGAGAAUAUCUAGUUUUGUUAUGGUAAUUAACUUGAUUAUCAAAUACUUGUAUCGAUUAGUUCGAUAAAAAAGAAUAACUAUUUGUAACUCACAACCUAACUUAGGGUCCAUUUGGGUUGCGAUGGUUUAUUGAAAAGUACUUCCUUAAUAGAACUUUUAAUAAAAAUACUUAUUAACUGUUUAAAUGCUUUUAAAUGUAUAUUUGAAAACAUAAUUCAAUAGGUACUUAUUGUAUUGGAUAAUGUGUAAGUUAAAAAUUAUUAAAAGUAUUUAUCUCUUUAUUGGGUUCAUAAUAUAGGAUAAGAUAAUUAAAUUUGAUAUUUUUUUUAAAUUACAAAAAAGUUACUUUAAAAGCAUCAAAUUUGAAUUUUUGCUACAAGUGCUUUUAAUAUCAAAAGUUCUACUCCUAAUUUUAUAGGAUGUUGUUUAUCAAAAACUUUAAAAGUACAUUUAACACUUAAAAAUACCUUCUUUUUUUUUAUCAAAAGUAUCGCAACCCCAAAUGAGGCAUUAGACAUAAGCGACUUGUUUUCGCGUAAUGAUGUUAAUUGUGCUGCAACUUAAGUCAUUCAAUCAUUUUUUACUUUCUUCUACUUACUUAAAUAAAGUGAAAGAGUUUAAAACGUAAGGUCAUUUACCAAUUGCCUUUUCUUUCAAAAAAAAAAACAUAGUAACAUUAUAUGCAUGUGCCUGCUUGUCUAGAUAUUGUCUAGAUAUUGGGGCCGCACCGACUCGAAUAUUUGGAUUCUAGUGAUCUGCUUGGCCGGUGUGUUCUUUGAGUUUGUAAAUAAAGUUUUAUUAUAAUUUACUGUAGCUCUCUCAGGAAAAAUACAGACUCUGACAUUUGUCUUUAUCUUUCUUUUCAAAACAACCCCUGUCCCUCAUCACACCACCCAUCACCCACCAUUGGUAACCUUCGUCGCCCAUCAUCACUACUCAGUUUUGUCAUCAGUAUCUUAUUUAAAAGUUAUUAAAAAAAUGUAACUAGUUUGAUGUUUGGUCAGAAUAGAUGUGAGGGACAAUAUCAAUAGUUCUUCGGAUUCGCUGAUGAAAUAUAAAGGGAAAUGAAUAAGAAGAAAAAAGAAAAAAAAUUAUAAAACCCAUCUUUUGUAUAAGUAUAAUAAAUAAGAGAAUUUUAUUAGAAUGUUAAAACUAGUAUUAUCAUUUUGGACGAGCAACCGGAGGUAUGUAUAAUUUUUAAAAUAUUAAGUGGGCUAAGUGAAAUUAUUGAAAAUCUCAAUCACCUACUCCUUCCGUCCCACUUUGAUAGUCCUGUAUUCCUUUUUCAUCUGUCCCAAAUUAUAGUCCACUUUCCAAUUGAAAAAUGUAGUUGUAUUUUAAUUUUUCUAAAAUACCCUUAUUCAAUGUAUGUAGUUGUUACUAUAAACCUACCCUAUUUAAUGAGAGUUGAUUCUUUUUUUACCAUCAAUUCAAGUUUCCAUAAAGUUGUACCAUAUUUAAUGUGAGCAUAUUUUAGAAAAAUAGCAAUCUAAAUUUACCUUUCCAACAAAAUUAACUAUUUUUUUUUUAAACUGUGUGAAAAAAGAAACAGAACUAUCAAAGUGGGACGGAGAGAGUACUUUUUUCUUCAAUUUUUUUUCCCAUUUGAAAACCACAGACAGAGGUAGGUUGCGUCUACGGUGUAAAGUUCACCUUUCUGCCCAUAGUAGGCAGAACCAAUGCAAGGAGGCCAGCUGUGCUAUGUGGGACGCACAAAGAAGGACAUCCGAGCACCACUGGAAAAAGCCGGUUUGGCUUGGAUGAAAAACGUUAUAUAUUUUAAAAUUACAAUAAAAGUCCUCUUAAAAAUUUGUUCAUCAUCUAAUGCCCAAUACUUAUAUUUGAUAAAUUAAAAUAGUUAAUUAAAUAUUCUAUUAUAAUAUAAACAACUAUAUGUCAUUGAGUUGAUUGAAUGAUAUAUUUUUUUUUGUAUUUCAAUUAGUUGUCAAUUAAGUUUCAAUUGAAAUAAAUAUUUUAUAAUUAUUUAAAUUAUCAAUUUAAGAUGAGCAUAAAUAUAAAUACAUUAAAUUGUAUUAUUGAAAUAUUUGAUUUAAUAUAAAAGAAAGACAAGAAGAAAUACAAGAAAUUUUUUAAAAAUUCAUGUGAGUCCUUUAUAUUAGUAAUCACAUUUACUUGUUAUUAUAAUUACAAUGCCUAACCAUAACCAAUUGAAACUCAUAUACACAAGUCAUACAACAAUUUGCGUUAUAAUGUUUACAAUUAAAGUUACUAUACACUCAAAUUAAAAUUCUCUUUUUUCCACUAAAAUUUCUUUUAUAUUAAAUCAAAUAUUUCAAUAAUACAAUUUAAUGUAUUUAUAUUUAUGCUCAUCUUAAAUUGAUAAUUUAAAUAAUUAUAAAAUAUUUAUUUCAAUUGAAACUUAAUUGACAACUAAUUGAAAUACAAAAAAAAAAAAGAAAAUAUCAUUCAAUCAACUCAAUGACAUAUAGUUGUUUAUAUUAUAAUAGAAUAUUUAAUUAACUAUUUUAAUUUAUCAAAUAUAAGUAUUGGGCAUUAGAUGAUGAAUAAAUUUUUAAGAGGACUUUUAUUGUAAUUUUAAAAUAUAUAACGUUUUUCAUCCAAGCCAAACCGGUUUUCUCCAGUGCUGCUCGGAUGUCCUUCUUUGUGCGUCCCCACAUAGCACAGCUGGCCUCCUUGCAUUGGUUCUGCCUACUAUGGGCAGAAAGGUGAACUUUCCACCGUAGACGUAACCGACAGAGGUAUGGGUGGCUAUUUAUUUAUUAUUCCAGACCUGAAUGAGAUGUGGCUGCUUUAAUUGCAUGUUUCGGGAAACCUACUGCGACCUGAACUUUGGCAGCUAUUAAGACUGCAGUUGGCGGUUUUCGACCGCAUGGGGAUGCUAAAAUGACGACUAAUUAAAGAAGAAUAUCAAGAGACCACCUUGCAUGGAUAUGAGACAUAAGCUAGAAGAUAAGUCGGAGCUGAGGCAAAAAUGAAACAACCCUAAGUGAUUUCAACAUGUAAUUUUGGUCAUUUAACUAUUUAAGUCUUAACUAACAUAUCUUACUAUUGUACCUACACAAUUAAAGAUUCUAAUUUUCGGAUUUGUCAAUUAUUACAUUAUAGUUUGUCCAAGACAAGAAAAGGAAAAAAAAAAGAGGAUAACCAAAAAAAAAGGAGAUGGAAGAGUUUAGGUUAUUAGGUUAUUUAAUAGAACGCGUUGCAGCUACUUACUAUGGGCCUGUUUGGAACCUGAGUUUUUUGGGAGUUUGUCUAAAACUUUACUGUAGUGUACUGUAAAAGUUUUUGAAAAAAUUUUAUAGAAGUUUUUGUAAGGUAAAAAACUUUUUUGUAGAAGUUUAUGAAAUGUUACUGUAGAUUUUUUUGGAUUAUUUUUAGAUGUAUUUUUAAAACAUAUUUUUGAGUAUUUUAUAAUUUAUAAUUUUUGUAUUUUUAUAUUUUUAAACAUUUAUUCAUUUAAAAUACAUUUAUAAAUAUUUAGAAAUAAAUAUAUUUACAUAUUUAUAUAAAAAUAUAUAAAUGUAUUAUAUUAUAUAUAAUACGUAAUAUACAUAUAUUUAUAAAUGUAUAAAUGUAUAAUUAAUAUAAAUGUAUAAAUUAUAAAUGAAUAUUAUAUAAAUGUAUAAAUUAUAAUUUAUAAAUGUAUAUGAUGAUUAUGUAUAAAUGUAUUAAUAUAAUUAAUAUAAAUGUAUUAAUGUAUUAAUAUUAUGUAUAAAUGUAUAAUUAAUAUUGUUUAUAAUUUAUAAUUUUUAUUGUUUAAAUAUUUAUAUGCAUUUAUGCAUUUAUAAUACAUUUAUAAAUAUUUAUAAACAAAUAUAUUUAUAUAUUUAUAAACAAAUAUAUUUAUAUAUUUAUAUAAAAAUAUAUAAAUGUAUUAUAUUAUAUAUAAUACAUAAUAUACAUAUAUUUAUAAAUGUAUAAAUGUAUAAUUAAUAUAAAUGUAUAUAUUAUAAAUGAAUAUUAUAUAAAUGUAUAAAUUAUAAUUUAUAAAUAUAUAUGAUGAUUAUGUAUAACUGUAUUAAUAUAAUUAAUAUAAAUGUAUAAAUGUAUUAGUAUUAUGUAUAAAUGUAUAAUUAAUAUUGUUUAUAAUUUAUAAUUUUUAUUGUUUAAAUAUUUAUAUAUAUUUAUGCAUUUAUAAUAUUUAUAAAUAAAUAUAUUAUAUAGUUAUAUAAAAAUAUAUAAAUGUAUUAUAUUAUAUAUAAUACAUAAUAUAAAUAUAUUUACAAAUGUAAUAAUUGUAUAUUAUUAUAAAUGAAUAUUAUAUAAAUAUAUAAAUUAAUAUAUUAUAAAUAUAUAAAUAUAUAAUAUUAUGUAUAAAUGUAUUAAUAUAAUUAAUAUAAAUGUAUAAAUGUAUUAGUAUUAUGUAUAAAUGUAUAAUUAAUAUUGUGUGUUAAUAUUAUGUAUAAAUGUAUUAUAUUAUACAUAAUACAUAAUAUAAUUGUAUAUAAAUAUACAUAAAUGUGUAAUAUAUAUAAUAUGUAUUAUAUAUUUAAAUGUAUAAUAUAUAAUAUUUAUAUAAAUGUAUAAUUACAUAUUUAUAUUAAUAUUAAUUUAUAUGGUAUAUAAUAUUUAUAUAAAUAUAUAAAAAUAUAUUUUAAAUAAAAUAAAAUAUUUAUAAUAUGUUUAAAUAAAUAUAUAAUAUAUAUAAUAAAGUUUUGAGGGUGAGGGACUCAAAAAUUCAAAAAAAAUUUUUGAGGUUACCAGCGGCGUCGGAAUACGUGACCGGCGCUGGAAGAGGUGGUGGAGGCGGUGUCUGGUGUGGUGGGUUGGGUGAGGGAGGAAGAAAAGUUUUUGAGAAAUUUUUUGUGUAUAGAUUUUUGAAGUGUGUGGGUAAAAAACUUUAAAAAGUUUUUUGGGGUUCCUGUAGCAAAAGUUGUUAAAAAACUAGUAGCUAAAAAACUUGGUAAAAAACUAGGGUGCCAAACAGGCCCUAUAUCGUUAAGCCAUGUAAGAAAGAGACAAAAUAAAAGGAUAAUGAUGAGAAUAUAAUUUUAUUAUAUAUAUGAUAGUUGCAAAUUGACUAUGCAAAGCUUUUUUUUCCCCUUUUGUAGCAAAUUUCUUAAACAGGGAAGGGGUGUCACCUUGAAAAUUUAUGAAUUAAAAACUUUUUUCUAAAAAAAAAGAGAAAGGAGUUAUCUAUGGGAGUAUAAAUUGUUGAAAAUCUAAAACUCUUGGUAAGAAUUGGUCAUUUCAAUAUAGCUAGGGUUUUUGCCUAUAAGUGAAUUAAUAGGUUAAUACUGGUUGCUGCUUGAGGCCUAGGACAAGAGUCAAAGGGGGCGCAUACCUUAGUUCAUUUAUUGGGAGAAAAAUUCCAUAUCCGAGUAACACUUGAAUUCCAAGGAAGCAAAGUGCUUGAAAUCCCGUUAUUGCCCCAGAGGCAAGCGGCCUUCCUUUGGUUCGCUCAACCUGCAUUAUAGAUAUGGGUUUGAGAGGGUAAUUAUCUUUUUUUUUUUUUUUUUGGAUUUGGUAACUAAGCAAUUAUAUUUAGAACAAUAAUUGCAUUAGAGACAAUGUGAUUUUGAGCAUAGAAACAGUAUAAAAAGUUUGAAAAUUUGAAAGAAAUCAUGAGAACGUUCAUUUUUCUAGGGAGGAGGCAGUAUGUAUAUUUAAAAUUUAGGGAUAAUGUUAGGAUUAGACUGAUAGGUUAAUUUAUAUUUGAACACUAUAUACUCCCUUCAUCCUACUUUGAUAGUUUUAAUAUUUUUUUAACAUGGUUUUAGACAAGUUAAUUAAUUUUAUUGAAAGAAUAAAUCUAACCUACUAUUUUCUUAAAAUACCCCUAUAUUAAUAUCAGUAGUAUAAGUAUCUAUUAUACCUUUUCAUUAAUUGUAACAAUAAUAUUAAUGAAUCGAUGCACUUAAUGAGUAAGGUAGGUUAUAUUCAUUGAUAACAGAGUACAUUAAAUAAGAGUAUUUUCAAAAAACUAAAAGUUAACUAUAAUGACUUGUUGAUUGAAUCAAAAUGGGUUGGGAUUCAUAGCUAUAUUUCGUACAUCUUUAAUACUCCCUCCGUCUCACUUUGAUAGUUCUGUUUCUUUUUUCACACAGUUUAAGAAAAAAUAGUUAACUUUGUUGGAACAAUCAAUUUAGGCAGCUAUUUUCCUAAAAUACCCUCACAUUAAUUAGAGUACAACUUUAUGGGAACUUGAAUUAAUGGUAAAAAAAGAAUCAACUCUCAUUAGAUGGGGUAGAUUUAUAGUAACAAUAACUUACAUUAAAUAAAGGUAUUUUAGAAAAAUUAAAAUAUAACUAUAUUUUUCAAUUGGAAAGGGGACUAUAAUUUGGGACAGAUGAAAAAAGAAAACAGGAUUAUCAAAGUGGGACGGAGGGAGUAUUAAGAAAAGGCUAUGACAUUGCUAUUUAAGUGCGUUCUCCUAGGGCGAAGAGAAGGAAGUCAUGGAUAUGGCUUCCGAUCGAAGAGAUAGGGUCAGCUUGUCUUCACCUAUCGGCUAUAUAUAUAUAGAUAUAUAAUGAUAGUACUCACGGCGGUGAGUAAUUCAAUUCUAAAGUUUAGAUCUGACCUCUUAGAUUCGUACUAUCUAUAUCAUAAUUUUUAUAAGUGAUAUAUUUAUCCCCCAUAUAUUUAUAUGUAUGUAUAUAUAUAGAUAUAAAUGAUAGUACUCGGGACGGUGAGUUAUUCUAAAGUUUAGAUCUAAUCUCUUAAAUCCAUAUUAUCUGUAUCAUAAUUUUUGUAAGUGAUAUAUUCAUCCUUGAUAUAUUUAUCCCUCAUAGAUAUUAUAUAAUGAUAGUACUCAGGGCGAUGAGUUAUUCUAAAGUUUAGAUCUGACCUCUUAGAUCUAUACUAUCUAUAUCAUAAUUUUUGUAAGUGAUAUAUUUAUCCCUCAUAGAUCCGUACCAAGGGGAAGGGAAAUCCCACUUAUUUGUGCCUCUCUUUAAUAUUCCGUUGAUUAUCUUUAUUUUCUGCUUACUUAAUUUAUAUAUAUUUGUUUGUAUUUAUCAUAUUACAAACAACCACCACCCCUUACAUAUAUAAUAAUAGUAAUAAUAAUAAAAGCAAUACCGCCCUUGUAUAGUUUUUUGCUUCUAGAGAACAAGAAAAUAGAUUACAUUUUAGUUUUUACCAAGUGAAAACUGAAAACAUGUGAAAUCGUCAAUUGCUCUGUAUCUCCAAAUGAAAAGUAAAAACAUAAUUUAAGAUUCAGUAAUCAAAUGGAAAAGGGAUCAUCACCUGUGCAUCAAAAUCCUUGUCAAAAUAAUCGUUAAUGGUGCAUGCAAUAUUUCUUGACAUAAAAGACACCAGGAAAAAGAAUGCCAACAUCUUCAUAUCAGGAAGGCUGCCGGGGUUCGCAGUGAAUGCAAGCGACCACAAGCAUGGCCAUGCAAAUAAAAACGUCCCGGUCGGGUUGUCCAAGCGGACAAGGUAGGCAUAAGGCCGGGCUGUUUCAGGAAAAACUGCUUCAAUCCAAGAAGAAGUGACAGCUUUCUCUUCUUCAGCUUUCUCUAUUGUCUUAUCUGAGGCUGAAACUUGUGGAGCUUGAUUAGCUAAGUUGAAGCCUCUGCCAAGAAGUCUUACACUUUUUAUCAAAGAACGGUUGAAAAUGGCUGAGUUUUCCAAAGUGUAAUGGCUGAUUUUGGAGUUUGAUUUGACUGGUUUGAUGGAGGAUUUGGGAAGAUAUAUGGAGGGACGAAGUUGAUGGUUCAAGUUCGAGAUUGGGUUAGUUCUAGACAAAGUUUGGGAAGAAGACAUGAUGAGCUUGGAAGCUUGGGCCAUUGUUUUCUUGCUUAAGCCUAAUGCAUGUAUGUAGUUAGAAGCUUGGGAUGUUGCCAUAUAUACUGAUCCAAUUUGAUCAUCUAGCCAGGGAUAAAGGCUGCUGCCUAAAACGAGGGAGGGUAUUCAAGAAUCGCAAGAUUCAAAAUCAACAUAUACAGCUAGUAUUGCACAAAUUGUCUGGAUAUAUGAAACAAAGAAUAUGUGAUUUCACAUUGACUCAGAGGCUAAUGGUUUCGGAUAUUUUGUAGCUUUAGAACUUUGGUGUAUUUGGCCUGUAAAUCAACAAUUUAAUUUGAUAGUUCUUAUUUUUCUUCCAAAAAAGACUCCAAAUCUUUAUAAUGGAAAACAAAGUGCAAAUUUGUUCUUCCUGUUGAGCCAAAUGCAUGUAGUUAGGAGUUUUGGAUGUUGCUAUAUACAUAUAUAUAUAUAUAUAUAUAUAUAUAUUGAUUUGAUCAUCUAGAGGCGCACAAGGGCUGCUUCCUAAACGAAGGGAGAAUAUUCAAGACUCAAAAUUUUCAAAAUCAACAUCUACAAGGCUAAUUCCUUAGAAUAUUACCCAAAAAUUAAAAAAAAAUUUUGGCAAAUGUGGUGCUGACAAAGUCCAUUUCUAAAAUCAGCACGGCGGGCAACAAUGUUUUUAACUUUUUUCAAUUCCUGGGGCAGCGACGUUUUUUAAAAAAAAAAUAAAAGUUCAAGGGCUGUAGCACGGCAGCCUUUUUUUUUAAAAGAAAAUUUCUGAGCCUGCCGGUUAUCUGAAGUUAGAAACCUUUCGUUUGCAAAUUGUUGAGGAUAUGAUGGUGUUGGCCUCCGCCGGCAGGUCCAAAGUACACAAAAGUCACAUAACUUUAGUCAUGGGCUCAUGGUGUGCUUUUGUCUGGAUGAAUUCUCUGAAAUUUUAUAUUCUUUCCAAAAGAAAACCAGUCCCAAUGCCAUGCUAAUUCUUUAAGCCAAAGAAAAAAAAUUGUAGACUAGAUUCGUGCUGUAAUUUACUGUAUCCAAUUUGUCCUAGUGUUAAUGUUUAUUUUCAGAAAAGAAAAGGGAAAAUGGUCAAUUUAGUCCCUAAACUUUUUUAUACUGUCAAUUUGAUCCAUAUUUAAUUUUUUUGGCCAAUUUAAUCCCUAUACUUACUUAUCGAUCCCAAUUGAGGAACUACGUGGCAGCGCUACCUUGUAAUUUCAAUCAAGCUUCUAAUUGAACACUUAAACAGGAGUAUUUCGGAUACUUCACCUUGUAAUUUCCAUCAAACUUCCAUUGUUGGCAUAAACCCUCCUCUUAACUCCGGAAUAACUACUCCUCCUCUUCCCACUCUCGCUCCCAGCAAGUGAGCUGCCAUCCCUCGAGUACCUCCCACAACAAUAGGCUAUCAGGAAGGAAGCGAUCACCAAUACAGCCAUGGCAGUUGACAUGAUUAUCGCAACUAGUGCUCCGCUUCCAAGAGGAACAUAUGGGUUGUGGGCUCACCACGGUUGAGGGUGAAGGAAGGAUGGGGAAUGGGAUUAGAAGGGAAAGAAUUGAACUGGUGAAUGACGAGGGAAGGAAUCUGGGCGAUGAAGAAGAAGAAAUUUGCCUAAAAUGACUCAGAGGGUUGGUGGUGAAAUAGCAAACUUGACGACUUGCAUAUAGGAGCUGUUGCUGUCGCGGCCGCGGCUGUUGAGGAGGAGGAGAAGCAUGUUUAUGGUGGGAAUGAUCAGCUCUUGGAAACUUGGUGUUGCUGUUGGAGCAAAAAUGAUGGUGCGGAUGUGGCUGGGUGGUGUGGAGAGAAGAUUUGUUUGCUUCCAGCGAACAGCGAAAUGCUGAUACAAAAAUGUCCGAUAGGAGUGGGAGGUAGGGUUUAGAAGUGAAGGGUUGAUUGCGGCGGUGGCAAAGGUGAGAGAGAAAAUGGGAGAAGGAGGAAGAGGUUCGCAUUUCACUUGUCAAAUCUCAAAACAACUAAAAUCUUUAGAAUCAAAUCAAAAGUGGAGACUGGAGAGGAGGGCCGCUCAUGGUUGCCCUCAAGUGCUGCUGCUUACACAUACGACUAGUACUAUUAUUACUAAUUCCUCUGCUCUGCUAAUUCAAUGCAAAUUACUACUUGUACAUGUUUGUCUCUGUGGCGGAUUUAGGAAUAGUCCCAGAUAGUGCAUUGUUCUAUAGGCUUAUGGUCAUGAUGUGGGAGAAAUUCGAGAAUUGGGAAGGAAUGGGGCCCCUGAGAUUGUUGUUGGAGACGUCGAGGCGGAGGAGGCGUCGUAGGGAGGAGAGUUCGGUUGGAUUUCACCGGAGAUGUCAUUGCUGGAGAGAUAGAGGAGCUUGAGGUUGAGGCAGCGGGUGAGAGGGCCGAGGGUGCCGUUAAGGUGGUUGUCGUGGAGGUUGAGGAGGCGGAGCUAGUCAAGGGAAAAGAGGGAGUCGAUAGAGCCUCGGAAUUAACAUCAGAAGUACCCGAAAUACCCCUGUUUAAGUGUUCAAUUAGAAGCUUGAUCGAAAUUACAAGGUGGCGCCGCUGCGGCGUUCCUCAAUUGGAACCGAUAAGUAAGUACAUGGAUUAAAUUGGCCAAAAAAAUUAAAUAGGGAUCAAAUUGAGAGUAUAAAAAAGUUUAGGGACUAAAUUGGCCAUUUUUCCAAAAGAAAAAGAAGAAAUAGAUGUUCUUGAAACAUGCUUGAAUAUCGCAACGGAUCCUCUGUACCACAACCCUGUCUCACACCCUAUCCCACCCCUCCUAAACUUGUCAAGUGUCCUUUUAUUAACCCAAUCCUGAAACAAUCCAAUUCGAACCAUGUUUAUUUAAUUAAUCGAUUAAUCGGGUUGAAAAACCGAAUCUCUAUAACCAAAAUCAAUUAAAAUAAAAAACCCAAAAAACAAAAAUAGAGAUUAAACAAGGCACAAAAAAAAACCCCACAAGGCCACGAAAUCGGUUUCCCAUCAGAUUUCACUCCUCCUCAAAAGCUUCAUCGCAACGCAGCAGGGCUGUCUGAGUUCAUCAUCUUCACCAUUCAGCUUUGACGAAAUAUUCACGGAUGAAGCUUCGAAGCUCUUCCCAAAGGUGAAAAACAACUUAUUUCUUAAAAACCUUGGUGGGAAACCUUCGAAGCUCUUCGCAGGCCAAUUUGAUGUGAUUUGCUAAGCUUAGGCACUUGAUCUAGUUUUCAACUUCAAAUUGGUCUGUUGAUACACACCAAUUGAAUUAGUUUUGCUAUAUCCUCAAUUGCAGGGAAGAAGUAAGAAAUUGGUUAUAUUCUGUAACAGAUAGGUGUCUCUGUUUUAGUGUUUUGGAACUUAGGUGUAGAUGAUUUUGGAAGGGUAACAAGUUUGCGUUUAUCUUUUGCUGAUUGAGGGAAUUUUUCUUCUAAUUUGUAGCUUCCACUCCGAAUGUUUCAUGCGUUAAAUUGUCUGAAAAUUCCGUAUCACCUGGACGAAGCACACCACCUGUUCGAUCAAAUGCCUAAGAGGAAGAUGAGUACAAAAUUUAUGGUGCACAUUGCAAUGUAAUCUACAUGAGUGACAAAUUUUGUUAACAACUCUCCACAUUCUCUAUUCUGAUUUUGUACUUUCCAUGGAAGGUAUUGAUUGUGGUCUUAUCAAAAAGAAAAAUGCGUGGCUCAAAGUCCCAAUGAAUGAAUAUGCAUAGAGCUGAAUAAUCCUUUUGCUAUGCCUAUUUAUUCACAAAAUAUCUUAUUUAUCUCGUGCAUAUUUCUUUUCUUAUGUUGCAGUUUGUAAUUACAAAGGAUCAUGGAUUUCAUAACUGUUAACUCAUUUAAGUCUGCAAUGCAUCUUGGUUAUUCCAAAUGGUUAAGCAGAUUGUGUCUAGAAUUGAGAAUGAGGGAAGCGAUUUGAGGUUUAAAUUUGAUCUUUUACUUGCGAUUUAAUUUAUGGUGCAUAUUCCAAGAGAUGCUUGAGAAUCAGCUUUAGUGCUAAAUUUCGUCACUCAUGUAAUUUGUGAUGCAUAUUCCAAGCUGAUCUAGUCAAAUUAAUCAGAGUAGACCUCAAACUUCAGGAAAUCCUGCAACCUUACUGUUUGGCAUGCUUGCAUUUAUGGCAAUUUAAUUUGACUGGAUUACCUUGGAAUGUGCGCAUUAAAUUGCAUAAGGUUAAGCAUAUACUAGUCGCGUAGCAGUCAAAUCAAAAUAAAUGAAAAUAAAUUAACUAGUUUCGUUGGAUAAAACAUAUAACUCACUGAGGAGUUCGAACUUUUAUUAAGUUUUUAACACUAAAGCUGGUUAUUAUCUUGGUGCUUAUGCUUAAUCUGUUAAUUUGUGAAAAUCCAUUGUGUAUUUACCAAUUUGUUAUCACUCUGAAGUAUCUUGCAUGGAAUUUUUGCAACCCAAUGAAAAGGUUUUUGUUUUACAUACUGUUUUGCAACUUAACUGGCAUCUUUCUGCUUAUUGGCGCUACAUUGUUAGAAUUAUUUAGUUUCAUACACUUCAACAUUCUGUUUCAAGCAUAUGAUUAACCACUUGUCAGUAUUCUUAUGACUUGAAGUCUCACUACUCAAUUAGCAAGCCUUUGUUCUGAUGGAAGUUAUGCAGCUCAAUUGGCAUAUUACUUGUGCUCAUGGCUGACAUUCUUUUGAUGUAAUCCAUCUUUACGGUUGGCAAUGUUCUAUAAAUGUCUGAUCAUUUUUGUAUGCUAGGAAAAGAAAAAGGAACUGGCGUUUUCUGCUCGCUUGCCUUACCAGUAUUAGGUAUUUUACAUUAAUCCGUUUCAGUGGUAAGAAUUGUUUCUGAAGUCAAGAAUAUAGCGAUUGUCUGUCACCUGAGCUAAUGGGGCUGCAACUACUUGUGGGGUAAUAACCUGAUUAGACAGCUGACAUUGCACAGAAAUGGUAGAAGCUGUAGUAGAGUACUUGUAAAAGAUAGAGGGCCUUGAUGAAGACAUACUGCUCAAAGUAGGUCAGAUUUCAAUAUUGAAAGAUGCCCUGGGCAAACCCUUUGACCUGCUGGCAAGCCCAGAUUCGGAGCAUAAAUACUUGGUGAAUUGAGGGAUAAACGGUGAAUUUGUCAAGAUUGUUUAGAACUGUUCAUAUUUGUACAAAUGUUUUUGUUGGUUGGUUUUUUUACUUCUUUGGUUAUUACUUCUUGAAAAUGAUGUUAAGUACUGAAAGGUUUGCAAUCAACCGUGCAGUUCAUAACGUUAUGGCAAUUUUUUUAUUCUAGUUCAUUUUCUCUACGACUUUUAGCAUUAUUUGAAUUUUGGCAGCAUAAUCAUCAAUUUCAAUAUGCUCAAACCUCAGAAAGAGGAAAACAAAAAAUGGAAUGAUGUGUAUAAAAAUCUAUGAUCCCUCUUCUACAAGGGAACAGAAAGAAAAGAGUGGAUAGAUUCCGAGGUGUAUAAAUGUAUAACUUCACACCAUCCAAGUUUUUUGCACUGAUCAUUCAUCUUUAGCAGCUUGAUGAUCACUAUCAUCAUUAUUUCCCAGUUCUUGUGCCUAUAAAAAACAAAUGCUAAGUUAGCAAAUGUAUUGAAUUAUAAGUGUAACUUAUCAAACUAAUAUAUAUAAAAUUAAGUAAUUAAUCAAGGUUUUUUCUUACUUGGACAAAACUCAUUGACGCUGCUGGUGUGCUAUUGAACUUGAAGACAUCAAAUCAUAGCCUUGGGUAAAGUUAGGGUCCAACGACUGCCCAAAAAAUAAGAAAUAGAAGACCACCCUUCAUUAUAAAAAUAGCUAUAAACUUGUAAAAGUAUAAUACUAGAAAAAACUGCAAUAAACUUAUAAGUAAGCAUACUAUUUACUUACUUGCAAUAAUUGUGUCAUGUUUGUGGGAUUUCGCCUAUUGUAGAUGUCUUCUAUUGAAAUUCCAAAUUCCUAAUAUAAUUAAAAAGAGACGACCACAAAUUAAAAAUUUCAUUGAAAAAACAUGUCGUUAAUGUACUUUAGUCAUCUAAAGAAUAAAUUAUUCAAAUAAAAUUUAAAAUAAAUUACAUAUGUACUAUGCUAUACAAGACAAAAAUGACGAAUAACUAUACCUGCUGUGGCGGUAAUUCUCGAGCAAAACCUUGAAUUGUAGCAGAAUCCAUACUUGAAUUAACAACAUUAUGUCCAAAUUCCUACAAUCAUUUUUAUCCAAAUUAUAAAUAAGGAUCCUAAUACUAUUUCUAUACUCAUCAUUCAUCAUACAACCAAGGAACCCAAAAAAAAGUAAUAGUCAAACAAUCAAAUAGCAUUGUUCACAUAAAUUAAAUAAAUUGUCAAACCUGUAAUCUUUUCGAUGAAAACUUCUCCUUCACCUUGUACUUGCGUUUCUUAGUAGCCAUUUCUAGUGCACUUCUUGGUCUCUUGCUCGACUUGUAGGUGACUUUUUCUUUCACUUUGCUCGACUUGUAUACCCUAUAAGUCUGUAUACAUAUUUUUUUACUAUUGAUAUCAAAUUACCGAAUACAAAUACAUAAUUUAUUACCCCCUUUGGUGAAAAGCAACAUGGUAGGGAAAAUUAUGCACCUAUUAAACCACAGAAAAGAAUGACUCAGCAAAUAGCACAGAGGAAAAUAUGUGAAAAAUGAGUAUGCAUUCAAGCUAUUCAUACACAAGAGAAGAGGCCCAAAACUAAUGCAUCAAAGUAUUCACAAAGAAAUGGCACAAUUUGCAAAGUCACCAGGAGAAAUAUCACAUAGCCAACAGAAUUUCACUAGAAUAAAAUAACCCAUGCAAAAGUACUCGACCCAUGAAUGAAAAGUAGAUAUCCUCAUAGGGAAUGAUCAAACAAAGAGCAGAUAACUUACUGUAUAAACACCCAAGCUAGAAUAUUAAAAAAUAAAUAAUAAAUAGAAAAAAUGAAACCGUCUUUGAGUAUAAUGUGUAAACAAAGAAGAAGCCAAAAGUCUCACGAACAACCAUAAGAAACAAGAAGUUCAGAUUAGGUCCUGAUGUCUAAUGCUUGCUUGGAAGCAGAAUAUUCAACCAAAAAGUAAAGGACAAAUUUACUUCAUAUGUUACACGGACAAAUUUACUUCAUUUGUAUUAAUCCUAUGUUACACGGUCAAAGUAAUUUUGAUAGUGGUAAUAUCAGCUAAAAAAGGGAGCAAGUUCGUAACUAGUACCAUUUAGAACUCUGAGGUCUAGGUAGUCAAUAUCAAACCCAACGUGUUGCUUUUCCCUACCAUGUUGCUUUUCAUACCACUUUGGUGAUUCUAUAUUUAAUAUUCUUCUUAUUAACCAAACUCUUCAUUGUUUUUGUAAUAGUUAAAAGCCUGGAUAGAUAUUUUCUCCUUUCAAAGACGCAUCAACAGGUACAAUACAAACACAAAAAGCACAAAAAUUUGUGAACAAAAUCAUCUUAAGCAAAUAGAUCUUCAAUCAACAGAGACCCAAAAAAAUAAAUCCUGAAACUUAACGAAAAUCAUCAAUUAGUAAGUAUUUGAAGGAACCCAGCAAUCCCUUUGCAUAAAUUCUUUAAGUUCAGAGGCUUCAGGUUGACUUCAGAGGCUUGUGCUGAUGUUUACAUGAAUAACGCAAUUCGUUGCAUAUGAAGAGUACUUAUUUGAAGGAAAAUUCAGGGCUGUACCUUGCUCCGUUGAAGACUAGCACGAAAGUGUUAAUCUCUGGAGGGCUGCGUUGCGAUGAAGCUUUUGAGGAGGAGUGAAAUCUGAUGGGAAACCGAUUUCGUGGCCUUGUGGGGUUUUUUUUUGUGCCUUGUUUAAUCUCUAUUUUUGUUUUUUGGGUUUUUUAUUUUAAUUGAUUUUGGUUAUAGAGAUUCGGUUUUUCAACCCGAUUAAUCGAUUAAUUAAAUAAACAUGGUUCGAAUUGGGUUGUUUCAGGAUUGGGUUAAUAAAAGGACACUUGGCAAGUUUAGGAGGGGUGGGAUAGGGUGUGAGACAGGAUUGUGGUACAGAGGAUCCGUUGCGGAUUUCUACGUUCUUGAAAUUUUUUUCUCGUUUUCUUGGUCUAAUUUUUCACUAGGGAGGCUUUGACUCCAAUUUUAAGUAAAACGAAGAUUCUCAAUGUGUACAAUUUUCAUUAUCAAGAUUAAAAUAUGCAAAUUUCCCUUAUUUCUCAUGUCUUUUUUUUCCUGUCAAUUGGCAAUUUCAUUACCUGAAAAUCUUACCCUUCAUAUUGAAUAAUUAAAGCCCAUUAGUUGGUAAACAUGUUCAACAAAUUAAAGGUCGACAAAAGUCAGGUAUGACUGAAACAAUUAUGUAUUCUUUGUUUGGACCCUGGUUUUCCUUAGAAAAAUUUUAUAUUUUAUGUGAAUAUAUUUUUCAACCAGCUUUUUAGUUUUACUUCAUAUAUAUCAAAUCGUUACAAUAUUUUUUUUUUUUUACAAAAAUUUUUAAAAGUAGCAAUCCAAAUGAGAGCAUUUAAUAUUCAAAUAUUUUCAAGCUGUAUGUAGUUAAAAAUUGAAUUGACUCAAUAAAAAAGUGCUCUAAUUCAUCAAGUAAUUCAAGUCGGCUACCAAUCACGAAGUUUCCACUGAUUUUUCAUGCAUGUGGGUCGAUAUGGGCACGCUAACUUUUUCAUUUUCAAUGUGGAAUUUUCCACAUCAACGUAUACAGUUAGUACUUCUGAAAUUCCGCAUCUAAACAUAUGGAAUAAUAUAUAAAUAAAUAAACAAGUAAUAGUCACGUGGAAACAAGUUGGCUACAUGGAAUCACAUUGACGCAGAGGCUAAUGAUUUCGGAUAUUUUAAUAGUUUCAGAACUUUAGUACAUUCAAUGUCAAUCAACAAUUUAAUUCGAUUUUCGUUUUCUUAUUUCUCAAAAAAGGUUUUAAGCCUUUAUAAAAAAAAAUGAAUAAUAGAUGAUUUGAGAGUCGAAUUAAGAACCUUAAAGUUACUUAACUAAUUUUCUUCCUAGCAAAGCAGAGUUUUGGAGAUAAUGUACUAUGUUAACUUGUAAUUAUUUUUUUUUUAUUUUGAAGAUUAUAAACAUGUAGAACUUCACCACACCAUGCAAGUGGCAUUAGUCUUAUUUAUGCAUUGCUACAACAUGCAGCAUUAUUGGACUCUUCAAGUUUUGCAGCUUCCUUAUUCUGUUCCAAAUUGAUAGUCGCUUUUGGAGAAUGCAACUUGUGUAGAGUUGAACUUAGCAAUUUUCUUACAUUUCUUCCCUCAAAAAAUUGGGAAUCUGAAAUACUUUUCAGUUAAAAGUCCCAAUGAAUUUGAGUUUUUUAUAAUGACAAAAUUUUUGAAUAUCUUGACAAAGCAAAUAUGACACUAUGAAUGGGAGGAAUGGAUUAUUUUAAUAACCGCGAGCUGAGUACUAUGUUUUACAAAUGCUAUUUUUGCCUAGGAAAAUAUAAAAGUAAUGAUCUGAGUUGUUUGUUUAGCGCUCAAGCAUUGAGCAAUUAUCAUGAUGUAGAGUGGGUUAACUCCAGUCUAUUGUGCUAAAUGCACAGUGUAAAGCAUCGAGCAAGUGCUCACCUGUAUACACUUUUGUUCCCAUUAAUACAAUCCUAUUGUUUCGACAAAAAAAAAAAAAAAAGAAGAGAAUUUCAUCAUGAAUGAAGGAAGGAAUUUAGAGUAUGUAAAGUGGAUAUAUUCUCACAUGUACACCUAAGUUGAUUAUUAUAGAAGUAAGCAGCAAUCAGCUAAUGAUGAUGCAUGGAUAUAGAAUGUUGUUAAAGAAUUAAUACCUGUCUAUAAAUGAAUAAUAACAUGAUAUAAUCGAUUAAAAUUAAGGUAAAUCUAACAUCAUAUAUGCAGUUUGGAACCGUUGUUUUCUCCUUCCUGUUUGCUCAACCUCUUGCAUCAAUUAUAAUGCAAAAUCCUUGCCCUUUGUCAUAUUUGACAUUUUCUUCUGAGGGUUCAUAGUUGACAUUAAUCCAUUGAAAUUUUACAUUAUGCUCCGACACAUGUGGCAAUAUGCCAAUGUCUUGGAUCACUAACAUCAAAUAAACUGCUAAACUAUAUGCUUGGAAGAUUUGUCUCUGAACUAAUUAAUGAGUAGGAGGGGGGAUGCUGGAGUGAGGACCUGAUUAAGAAGGUUUUCCUGAUUAUGAAGUGGAUACAAUUUGUUCAAUACCAUUAUGUGAUUCAUGGCCUGAUGAUCAGAUAGUAUGGAUGGCACCACGCCAAUGAUGGACAGUUCUCAGUUAAGUCGGCAUAUCGGAUGAUCAUUGACCUUUUAAAACACUGGAGUGGAAAGAUUGAAUCGGCGCCGGCCAGCACUUGGAAGCAUAGUUCGAAGACUCGGCCGAGUCGUCUCCGUCUAGGCCUAGUCCGAGACGAGACCGCGACGAAACGUUUCCGAGAUACGUGACUCGUCGAGACGUCACCGUGAAGAGUUAAAAACGACCGAGUCAUACCGAGUCAUUUCAAGUCAUCCUGAGUCAAUUUGAAUUUUUAUUAUUUUUACUAAUUUUUUAAUUAUUUUUAUUUAUCAUAUUUUUUUAUAAUUUUUAGAAUAUUAAAUAUUUCAAAAAUUUACGUCUCGCCGAGACCGCGACCGAUAUGCCGAGACCGAUGUGGAACGGUCCAGGCCGCGACCGCAACCGCGACCGUGACUCUGAACCAUGCUUGGAAGAGAUGAAAUUCUGGAAAGGAGCGUGGAAAUUAGAGGUGCCCCCAAAGGUAAAAUGUUUUGUGUGGAGAUUAUGCUGGAAUGCUUUACCAACAGGAACAAAUCUGAAGAUCAAGAGUUGCGGGUGUUAAUUCUUCAUAUCCUUUGGUGUGGGGAAUGCAGAUGAAGAUGACAGGCAUGUCUUUUCUGAUUGUAGAUUUUCUGUUACAGUGUCGAAACGGGCGGCUUUAAGUACUGGUAUGGUAGAGAUAUUGGAAUCAAUGCAUCCAACGGAAAGAGAAUUUAUUGCAAUAUUGUUAUGGAGGAUAUGUUAUUUUGAUUGGUGAAAAUAAAAAGCCUACAGAAAUAAAUAAUAUAGGUUUUCAAUUUCUAUGAAUAAAUCUACUUUUUCUUCCAUUUUUGUUUAACACAAAGAACAUUAACCAGAAAAGUAAAGGGUAAAAUUAUGAAGUCAAUCUUAUCAUAAAUGCUAGUUGGAUGAAAAGCAAUGCUAAGAGAGGUCCAUGUUAUUUUGAAAUCAAGAGGAUAUGUCUCUAACUUAUAAAACCUAGAGGAGAAGUCAUUGUAAUUUACCCAAUAUAUUUUCAAGUGUGCUUUGUGAGUUCAUUUAUGUGUUAGAGGAAGAGCGAUGGCCACUAUUAAUGGUGCCAUCUCCAAAAUAGAUGAAGAGUAGAAGCAACCAGUAGGGCUUCAACGCUGACGCUGGAAGGAGAAAAGAAAAAUAUAAAAUUUGAUUUUAACCUCAAAUUUUUUAAGUUUUUCUAAAACUUUGGGAGAACCAAAUCUGCGACCCCCUUCCCUCCCUCUCUCCCUCUCUUUGGUCACAAUCAGAUCUGGUCCCCCUUCUUCUUCCUCCCCCUCUCUAGUUUGCGGUACAACCAGAUCAGUGUGAACCAUAGAGGGGGAGGGAGAGGAGGGGGGUUGCGAGGAGAAGGAAGAAAGACGAAGGAGGGGAGAAGAGAAAGAGAAAGAGAUGAGAAAGAAGAGAGCUGAGAGAGGGGGAGAGAGAGGGAGGGCAAAGGGAGGGGCAGUAGUGGAGGUGGAGGAGGAGAGGGGCAAUGGUGGGUGGUGGUGUCUGGUGGUGGUGGGUGAUGGAUGGAGCAAGAUAGAGGUGGUAGAUUUAUUUUAUUUAUUUUAGUUAUUUUAAAGAUUUGUAUGGUCUAAGCAAUUUUUAUAAUAUUUUUCGGAGUGUGGUACUUUAAUAUUGUAUUUAAAAAACUUGUUCUUGAUAAAAUCUUAAAUCCAUACAAAUUGAUUUUAGCACUAACCUUUUUAAAUUUUUUUAAGUUUUCCUAAACUAAUUUUGGUAAUUGUGAAAAGUGCAGCUAACAAGAAAAGCUUUUUUUUCAUCUCUAUUUACGAUUGCAAUUGUACCUUUUUUCUAUAAUCUUUUUUAAAACAUCCCUUAAUAACAAUUUUAAUAUAUCCUUUUAUUCUUCCAAUUAACUUCACUAUGAUAUAUUCACAUUUCAAAAAGUGCAAUGAAAAAAUAAUUUUAAAAAAAUUGUGAUAAACAACGAAUAAGAAUUGAAAUUUAUGUUAAGGUAAUGUCAACUGUAAUUUAAAAAAAAAUAAGUAACCAAGUCAAAUGACCAUUUUUGCCUAUUGCUAUCCGCCUAAAUCACUUAACUUUGUUCCUCUUUUUUUUUUUCCUUUUAGUAAUUACAAUAAAACACUGCCUAAUUUCCUCUUUUACGAAUUAAUAAAGAUUUAAUGCCCCAAUCCUAAAUUUCACCUCUUAUUCCUCCCUUCUCCCAAAUUUUCCCUAUUAAUUUUUCUUUUUUCCAAAAAUUAACAAAAUGGCAAUUCAAAAUGUAUAUAAAGUAACCAAACAGGGAGAACCAGACCCAAGAACAGAACCUGCAGGCCAAAUCAACAAAAUUUGGGCCUGUACACUCGUCACUCUACUCCGCCGCUUCCCGCCAGGGCUACCACCUCCUGCCGGAGCAUCCUCCCAUGUCUCCUCCGGUCCCUUCCAAAAUCUUAACAGGUUUGAACAUUUUUCUUCAUUUGUUCUUCCAAUUAAUAACAAUUCCACCAUAAAUCGAACGGUAAAAAAAAUUUCAAUUUUUAACAGAUGACGUCAGCCUUCUGAUGGUUCUGAUCGACACUAAUCCUCACUUCUGGAGCUCCAUCAAACCCCAUUUCUCCUUCUCCAAGUUCCUCUCCCACGUAAUGCCCCUUUUUGAUAUAAUUAUAUGCCAUUUUUCCUUCUGUUUUGGGGGGAAAUUAGUAAGUUUUGGCAUUCUUGAACUCUAUACUACUGCUUUAAUUAUAUCCCAUUAAUUUUUUUAAUUUAAUUUGUAGUUGGGUUCUUUUUUUCAUAUUUUAUUUAUGUUUUGGGGGGAAAAAGUGAUGGGUUUUGGCGUUCUUGAAUUCAAUAACACUGCUUUAAUUAUAUCCCAGUAUUUUUUUUUGAAUUUAAGUAUUAAUGGUCUUUUUUAUUUGGGGAAUUAUGGUAGGUAUUGGCAUUCUUGAAUUCAAUUCUACUGCUGAACCAGUUGAAUCAGGUGGUAGUGCUUGCUACCGGAAUCAAUUCUUGUGGUUAUGUUUUUGACUCGUCGUCUGGCUCAGUAAGCCAGAGGGCUGAGAGCUUGUUGCCCAAGUUGGAGGAGUUUGCGGAGAAUGAUGAGUCAUUGAGUGAGAGGGACGAUGACUCGGGAAAUGGGGUUGGAUCCUCACUUCUUUCCGGUUCUCUUUCCAUGGCUCUCUGCUGUAUCCUUUGUCAACUUUUCAAUGAGCCAGUCAAUAUACUCGUUGUUUGUGUGAUUUUGGAUGUUUAUUGUUAAGGGCACUCAUAGAUUACAUUGGGUAUAUAUGUUCUCUACAAUGAGUAGUUGAUUGUCGUACAUGAAUUAGUACAUUUUCACCAUUCAUGCUUUUCAUAAUGAUAAGAUGAAGUUGUAUUCUCUUUGUUAAUAUACUCUUUUUUGCACGUGCCUUUUAUGAUAAUUUCCCCUAAUUCACUUAAAUUUUGGAAAAAUUAAUCAAAAGUGCUGGCUAGGAUGGUUAAUUCAUAAAGAAUGUGUAAUUUUGAUCUAUGUAUCAUAAUGGGGUGUUAUAACGACCCUUUUUCCCACAAAAUAUAUGCUUCUGUGUUUACAUUUAGCCUAGCAUUUUGUAUAUGAAUCAAUACAUUUUCUUGAAAAAUAUUUUAAAAUUACAGUCUUUUUGUCUGUUACUAUUCUAUUUUGCCCUUAUAUCUUAUUUUCCCUUAACAUUUUUUCAUAGAUUUUACUAGGAUAGAUUGUAAUGAACGCCCUGGUUUAAGAUUAGUUUGUUAUCGGCUAGAUGUAAAAAUCUUCUGAAUUGAUGUGUGUUUUUGUCUGUGUUUCUGCGCUUCUGCAUGUGGAUGUGUCUAUUGAUGCAGUAGACCUACUAAUCUUUUUUUUUUUUUGUAUUUUCUGAAGGAGGUCAGUGGGUGUCUCUGUGUGUUUGUGAAGGGUUGGCUGUUGGAUUGUAAUUUAUUAUCUCCUUAUGUCCAGUUGUAGAGGGUUGUAUGGAGAAAUUUAAUUUGUAUGAGUUUUUUGUGCAUAUACCCGUGUGUGUGCUUGUAAUGAACAUGUAGAAAUGUAUUUGACAUGUAGGUGCGUGUGCAUGAGUGCUUACAUGUGCACUUCGUUUACCCUAUAAUCACUUGCAAAUUGUUGCAUUUUGAUUUUAUGGAAGUAUUGUUGGAUAUGACCAAAUAAAUGGGCAGAUAUACAGAGGGUAUUUCGGUCAGGACCUCUUCAUCCACAGCCACGGGUGAGUGCUCAUUUUGUGAUUAUCCUAUAUCAAAAUGUCAAAAGUUUUGAUUGAUGCAGAUAAUUAUUUAGAAAGUAGAAUUAACCAGUUAACAAGGCCUUGUCAUUUAAAUAUUUUCCAUGCAGUUCAUUGUUUUUGUUGGUUUAAUAAUUUCAUUACUUUUAGCAACUGAAUUACGUGAUCUCUUCCUAUGUUUCCAUUUUUAAUUUAUUCAUUUCUUACCAUGUGAUGCUGAUUGCCCCUUGUUUGCAUAUAUGUAUGUACUAACAAACUGCUGCCAAAUGAUGGCAGAUAUUAUGCUUGCAUGGAUCUCCUGAUGGACCUGGACAGUAAGUACUUUUAAGAUAUUUGGGAGCAUCUAUGAUAUCUUCUUCAUUGGCUUUUACACACUUUCACUUGUGCAGAUACGUUGCUAUCAUGAAUUCCAUUUUUUCUGCUCAACGUUCAAUGGUAUGUGGUCUAUUUUAUGAAUUUUUUAGUUUUAGGAUCAUUAUAUUUCUCAAAUUAACAUCUGUGCUCUUUCUGAGAUGAUUUAUGUUGGUAAUGACCUCCCUAUUUUAAUCAAAUGGACUUCCAGGCAUUCAUGUUUUUUCUUCUCUUGUUUGCAUUAGCUGCAUAGAAUUUGUCUCAGUAGUUUUCUUCUCUCAUUCCAUCUCUUAUUGAACCUUAUGUUGGUCCUUUCUAGGACAAGCCAGACCACAUACUAAGGCUCUCAGUAUUCCUGUACUUAAAUUGGGUGACUGCUUGUAUUUGGGUGGUAAUCUUGGUGAUCAUGGUGUCCUAGAUACCAUUUAUCACACCAUGAAAGAAAAGGUUUUUUUUUUUUUAAAAAAAAGAAUCGAUUUCAUAGCAUUGGUGUUUGAUGCGAGCACCUUUUUGUUUUCUUUUUCAGCUCUGUUGCUAAAGCAUUAGGUUCUUUUCAGUUCUUAUGUGGAGAUCAGAAAUUAACACAUGCAUUUCAGAUUGGCUUUGUUCACAAUAAAUAUGCUUAUUUUGUAACUCAUUUAAAAGUUACAGUUUUUCAUUGUGAUGCUAAUCAAUUUGAGGUGUCUUGACAUGUCAAUAUUAUGCUUUCUUCCACAGGUACCGAUUGAUUCAUGUGUUAUAGGAAUCCAGCAUUCUGCUUUUCUUCAGCAGGUUGUGACUUGCUGUUACAUUUUUUCCAUUAUUCAACAAGAUGAAUGUGAGAUGCUUGAUUCUUUUUAGUGAUCUAUUCUGGUGAUAAUUUAGGACAGGCUUCUUAUAUAACUGGAGGUGUAUAUCUAAAGCCACAGCAGUUGGAUGGACUUUUCCAGUAUCUGGCGGUAGGUCUUAUUCUUCAUCAGACGCUAAACAAAGAAGCCUUUUUAUUACUAGUGUGACGUGUGACUCACUGAGACUUUGCCAAUGGUUGUUGGUCUAAGACAUUAACUCGUUUAUGGUUUUGAUAUCAUUGGGAUCAGUUAGUGCAACAUAGUAUGGUAAUUAUAUCAUCCCCUUCAAUGCGAAUGGUUCCUUUAUCAAAUGCCUUUUUUCUUUUGUGGUGUCAGCUGAAAAUUGACCUAUUUAUUCUCUUGCAAGAAUAAUUUAACUUUAGUGGUUUGUUUUCAAGUGUUUGUAUUACUAGGCAAGGAAAGAAUUAUUCUUCCUAGUUAUUGUGGAUGAGUCACUAUUUAGUUAUCUUUAAAACAAUAAAACAGCUUGAAGUGAGGGUAACACUUACUUAUAGCAAGUAUAGUGGAAUACUGGGUUUUACAGCAGAAUUCAUUGAGUCACUUAAGCUUGUACUUUCUAGAUAACAUUUUUGGGGACAAGUUUAAUUGAUUUUUCAUUCUCUUGUGGUGCACAUGCUACUUAAAUUUUGACCUUUAGUUGACCUGUUGAGAAAUAUUGUGUAGUUAUUCUGCAUCUUUAACUAAAUACAUUUUUCUUUCAUCUAAAAUUUUGAGCAUGGUUCUCCAUUUCCUAUGUCAGCCUCAUUCCACAACUGGUCAUUUCACAUUUCUUGUUUUUUAUCAAAGUCCUGGAGUCACAUUUGUUAGGCAGUUAGACUGUUAAGCUAUGGAAUGCAAUGCCAUCUAAUAGUUAGCCAUGAUAUACACUAAUAUAGAAGAAGAGGAGCGCAUUGGGGAUAGAGCUACUUGAGUUGAAUAUGGAUUUUAUAACUUUGUAGGAUGCCAAAUCUUGCACAGAGAUUCUUCUCCUUGGUGUAGUGCUUAGUGAACCCUUGGGUGUGGACACAGGCUUCCCUUGUCUCUUUUCUGAUUCCUCAUUUUGUUUUGAGCAAGUUUUGAAUUUAACAUUUGGCUUUACAUUGUAAUCAAAACCACCUCAUGUAUAAACUAAGAAAGCACAAGCAUCUUGUUGCUUUUAACUUUUGAAGUGGAUAUUUCUUCAGUAAGGUGUGUUAGCACUUAUACUCAGGAACAAAGUGUGAAGAAAGCAUGUUUUCCUAGUCUUAUAGGAGUCUUUGCUCUUUUUUUAUUCUUUAACCAUUGGCUACUGUUAUGUGGGGCCUUUGAUUGUGGUGGAUGAAUGAUAAAAUUAACCAAACAUCAUGGAAAUAUUAUAUUGCAAUAGAGCUCUAUGGUUUCCUUUCCAAGUUUCAAGUAUCAAGUCCCCAUUCUUCCAUCUCAUUCUCUUUAUGGUGGCAAGUCACAAUUGGAGCAUGUUUGUUUGUAAUUCUUCACUUUUCUAUAUCCCUUCCCAGCCCAUGUGGCCCUACUGCAUGCAUCGUGGCGUUUAAUGUCUUUUCUUGUUUCCCUUUUGCAUUUCCUAUCUUCUACUACCCCAAGCCAGUCAGUGGUCCUACAAAUCUCUACCUCAUUUUCUUUCCCUACCUUUCCACUCUGUUCCCAUCCUGCUGCAUUAGAUGAAGACAAGGAGUUUGUUCCCUGGUUAACUUGUUACUCUUAUUAUUUUAACAUCUGUGGAAUAUUCUCUUCCACUUUGAGUCCAUAUAGAGAUGUUUAACUCUCAUUCACAUGAGUGUGUCCCAGUUCAAGUCUAAAACUUUUAUUUUCCUUACCAUAUUUAUUGUAGCAGACUUCCAAUGGUUCUGCUUAAUGAAGGCAACUUAAGCUUUUGCACAUGCUAGAUGAAUUUAGUGUUAUAAUUGUUUAGUUUGCUCGGAUCAAUCAACUUACUUCAUGGAGCUUUUCAUUUGACUUGUCUUUUAUGAUUCAGUAUUUUUUGUUUUAAAUUGCAUACAGCAUUUUUUUUUUUUACAUAUAGUUUGGCUUCUGAUUCCUUUGGAUUUCUUAUUAAAGCUUUUAGUUGCUAAUCGGGACUAUUUUGUAAAAAUAUGCAGACAGUGUUUGCUACCGAUUUACAUUCUCGGAACUUUUUGCGACUGCCAAAGCCUGUUGGUGUGGAUUUUCGUGCUUCGUAAGUAACUUAGAAGUUUGAUCCCCCUAUUUUGUUUCUCCAUAACGAUGAAACAUUGAUUGGUCGUUAUUUUAAGAUACCAGUUGGAGAGUUUUUCAUUGUAGCACUUUAUAUGCUUUUAGAUGUAGAAGCCUGCUGGGAAUCACAUGCUUAUAUUAAUUUUUCAAAUUUUCAUGCAUCGUAAUACUAUUCCAGAAACAAACAAUAUUUUUGUGUUUGCACAUGAAUAAUUUUGCAUAAUGCAGUGAAUGAGCAGUUUUUGUCAGCAGUAAUUUGUGGAUCCCAUAUAGGAUCUUCCCUCAGUUGGCUAUAAAUGCUUGAAGUUAACUGUUCUUUCUGGUAGCUUGGUCCAAAAAACAUUCGCAGAUUCUCUGUUGGAAUCUGCACAUAUAGAAUCUUUACUACCCUUCAUGGUUUUGGUCUCAAGGAAAAGUUGCUUGUGUCACUUUGACAUUUUUGGGUAAAUUGUAUUUCCUUUCCUUUUCCCCAGUACAAAGUAAAGUUUUUGUUGUCAGAUACGCACAAAUGAGAAUUGUCUUUCAAGAAAAAGGAAUGAACUAAUAAGCAAUUGCUUUCGAGAUGAUUUCCCCAUCUUGCAUUGACAUACUAUUGGAAAUACUAGAAGCUAAAUUCUGACAUAUAUCCAAAUUUUAUACACUUGGGAUCAUAAUGAUUUUGGAAGAAACUUUCAUUCAGUGUCAUCCUUGCAAGUUUGUUGGUUACAUUGUGCAGUCAAUGUUUUUUUACCGAAACUUUAGUUUAUAUAUAUGACGUCAAAACUAUACGUUGGUGCAGUCAAUGUGCACCCACAGUUUGUACUGGCUUACUGUUGCCUGCUGUGCCUAAUGCAUCUUGUUAACCUGAUCAAUGAAACUUGCAGGUGCUUCUGCCACAAAAAUACGAUUGACAUGGGUUUUAUAUGCUCUGUUUGUUUAUCGAUAUUCUGUAAGCAUCAAAAGAAAUGUUCAACCUGCGGGUGAGUUCCACUUGCUGUUAUAUGUCUGAUUCAAACUCGUCUAAUAGUGAAUUCUGUUUCCAUUUAUAUGUCCUGUGCUUGCUUAAGUAUGAUUGAGGAUGAACUGUUAUCUUGUCAUAGUUUCUUCCAAAAAGAAAUAAAAUAAAUGAAAUGCUGAUGUGCUUGAGCCACUUACAAAUCAAGCUGGUUAGAUCAAUAAGCAAGAGAACAAGGGUUUUUUCCUCAGUUGGGGCCUGGGAAGGAAGGUGAGUUGGGGAAGAUGGUACAGUGGUGUAGGAAACUAGAAAUGCCUGACAUUUAUAGUCAAAAUAGCUACUUGCCUAUCUAUUAUUUGUGAUCCUUCUCUUAUCCCUGCAUUUUGUGUAUCUUUCCCCUUGGCCAUUUGAUGAUUAUGCUAUCAAUAGCAACGCAUGUUAUAGUUACAAGUAAAUUGCAUUUGUUCAAGCUGCUUUACAUUUGCUCUAUCUGGAUGAUUUGUUACAGUAUCACCAUAAAUUUAGACUGAUAGGAAAGUUCUUCUACUGGAUGAUAUGAUGCUCCCAAAUGUCUGUAGGUCGACUUUUGGUCAGGCGAAAACACUUGAUCCCUCAGCAUCACAGCAAAGGUAGUAGAUUCCAGGAGAUACUCAAAUCUGAACAUAUUCCAGCUUUGCGUUUGGUUUCCUCGUCAUGCUGUAUCCAUGAAGUCACGCAACACUCAAGAGCUUUUGAUGUUGCAGCCUGAAGUAAAUGACAUUGGCAUCGACAUCAAACUCAGAUUAUGCACUGGAAGCUAUCUUAGUAAUCCAUGGUUGAAAGUUGGGAAGGACGAUCAGCAUCCAUUUUGCAUAUUUAUGCUGAAGCAUUGCUGAACCAAAAUGCGAUGCAGUUGCUCUCAAUAUGUGGUUAUUUAUAUGAUUGAAUUGUCGACUAACACAGACUGCUGGACAAGGGUUGGGGUGUAAAGGUUCUCGGAAUUUCGGUUCUUGAGCAGGACUUUUGAUUUGCACUUUCAUUUCAUGUGUUUUCCUGACUUUGAAUGUUUUUCAAACAAGAUCCAUGGAAAGUAUCAUACUCUCCAGUGUGGGAUUGUAGCAUCAUUAUCUGAACUUCUGUAAAUAUGCAAGUCUAGUUAGCUUUUCAUUCUGUUCCUCAUUGUCCCUCUCCUAUUUCUGGCUGUCAAGGUAGGGGCACAAGCUACAAUGAACUGUUAGCCUAACCAUAUUCAGAGUGUUUGUCUAAUUGGUGUCCCUUGGACACUCUUACUCGGGGCCUUGAGCGUUAAUUUUUUUCGAAAGAGUUGUGUCGAGAGUUCAACCAAAGUUAAAGGGUAGAAAAAUUGUGAGCUUUUACAUUCAGAUGAUCGAUUGUGUGUAUUAUUAACCUGAGCUGAUGAGGUAAAAUUACUCUUGGUUUUUUGCAAUAAAUGCAUUUUUCCCUUGGAACACUAGCAAAAAUUCCUCAUCAACCAUAAAUUGCAACAGAAAAUUGCAAGGAAUAAAUAAUGCUCCAUUAUUGUCCUUGUCAACUUUCCAACAUAUCGGCCAAAGUAAGCUUUAAUUAUCUCUUUGCUUACCAAAGAAAAGUUCUGCUCUUGCUCAGAAGAUAAACAUAGCUGGGAAUACUUGUUGCUCCAGCAAAUUAACUCUUUGGGUUCAAAAGUGGGAGAAAAUUACAAGAUGGUGGCUAUUAUAUACCUUGGUAUUUCAUUUAACUGACAUUCUAGUAAAUCUUAGACCACUAUACUUCAGUCUUUUGUUUAAUUGUUAAUUGUCUUUGAAUCAAUUUGAUACUACAUCUUGAAGAAAGAUUUUCCACUAAUUCUUUUGUACUCAUCAAAUCUCAACAUAAUUUUUGGUGGUCAAAUUGAUACGUUUACUAGCUGUAUAAUGGAGUUUAGAAUUGGCGGAUUUUAAAGGCCAAGAAAAGACUAAAAAUUACUAUUAAAAUUUUCACGUUUAACCAUUUACUUGAAAUUUUUAUAAAAACCAAAAUUUAAUUUUUUUAUUUGUGUGAGGAAAAUCAUUUUUCAUUAUUCCUUGUCCUUUUCUUUCCUAAAAUAUGGAUUUCAAUUUAUUUCAAAUUCAUGUGUCAAGCUCUCCUGUGAUUCCUCCAAAUUCCUCCUAGAAGGCGGUGGAUCUAUUUGUGUUUGUACCUCUAUGUACUACAAUUUCUACAAUAUUUACGACCAAAACUUUGUCUGUUACAAAUUCCUCCAUUGUGUAGAUAUUGAUUGCUGACCUCUCUAUUGAAGCUCACUAACCAGGCUGAUUACGCCAAAUGGUUGAUGAGACAUUGAUUUAACGGUUAAGGUUGAGAAACCAAGAAUUAGCGGUUCUGAAUUCAAAUUUUCACGUCUUCUCUCCUCUUCUUAAAUUUUACCUUUCCUCUACUAUAAAAAAUUUAAAAAAAAAAGAAGCUGAAUACAGAGCGAAACGAACAAAAAUUAAAUGCAAAGGCUGUUUGACCAAUCAGAAAAGCUGUGUGUGCCACCCUGACCUUGAAUCAAGGGCUUAAAAUUAGCAUCAGAGGACAGAUUAAUCAACACAAAUCAAACUGAUAAGAACCAACAAAGUGACCAAACAUUGCAUGUUCAUAAAGCUGACUGGCAUGUCUAAGAACAAGAACUCGAACAUGAAAUAAGGAAAAUCCUAGGAGAUUUAGCCUGUAGUCUAUAAAUCCUAAGAGAUUUAUCCUUUUGUCUAUGAAGUGAAAUGAACAACUGAAUGCUUGUAAACCCUAAAGCUAGCCUAACAAACCAUGAUUGCUUCAGAGAGAAUUUUCUGGUAAUAAUUUUAUGUUGUCUUUUUCAGUGUGUGAUUCUCUCUCUUUCUGGUAUUUAUACCAAAAAUCAUUGGCUGUUGUUGAUCAGGUUAAACACCUGAACUGCCACUAUCCUAUCUAAGUGGCCAGCUUUCUCCAUGUUUCCAUUAAAUAUUGGUCCACAACAUUAUCCACUUAGCAGCCAUAAUAUAACCUGCUAUUCUUUCAUUAGUGGUCCACAUUUUCUUCCACUUAAUAUGAAUAACCUAACCAUUCUUUCUCAUUUAUGGGGCCAUGAUUCUGUACAACUCCUCUUUUCAAGGAUAUGGGUUCCUUUAGAUCAACCUCUCUGAAUCAGCCUCUUGAAUCAUCACUUUUAUCAGCUUUUUAAAAUCAACUUCUUGAAUCGGAGCCCAUCAUGUUCCAUCCUUUACAAUCAGAAAGGGUGGCCCCUUUCUGUUGUGUUUGAUUGAGAUUUCACUUAGUGCAUAUGAACGAGUAAAUUUACGCCCACCAUGGUGUGCCUGAUUCCUAUUAUCAUAGUCUUUUGUUUGUUAAUAUACUUGUUGCUUGUCUGUAGUGGGGGAUGACAGGUAUAAUAUCAAGAAGUUCCAUCCUUCCCGAUCAGAAAGAGUGGCCCCUUCAUGGUGUGCUUGAUUGAGAUUUGACAAAGUGCACAUGUAAAUUUAUGCCCAUCAAACUUUGUUGACAAGUAAAUUCCUAUUAUCAAACUUUUUGUUUGUUCGUUUUGUUUAUAGUAGGGGAUGACAGGUACUUGUUUCCCUACCUUCUGCCAGGCUUUCGCUUAACUAUCUUAGGAAUAAGGGAUGAUUUCAAAAACCAGGUUUCUAACAAUUCACUAAAUUAUCUUAUUUAAAAAAUUACACUUACUCUCCUCGAUUUGGCAUUUUUAGGUGCGUUUGAUAAAACUGAAAUCUAAAAACUAAAAUUUGAAAUAUGAAAUCUGAAGUCUGAAUCAAUUAAAUUAUUGAAUUAUUAAAUACUAAAUUUGAUACAUUUUAGUGUAUAUAUCAUAUUAAGUGAAAAGUAAAUAGUUUUAUCACUUUAUUUUGAAGCAAAAUUUAUCUAGAAAAUUCAGUGUCACUUAAUUAAUUCACAUGUUCAAUUUUUUGCUAUUAAAAGCGUCUGAACAUGUUAAUACAAGAUGAUUAAAGUAACCCAAUAAUAUUUACAAUACAUUAAAGUACAAAGUUUCACGGAUAAUGAAACUUAUUAGUGAAACUAUGCUCCUUAAAGUAUUGGACUUGGACUUGUAGCAAUUAUGUUUGUUUAUUAAGGAUUUCCAUCAAAAUUAUUACUCAUAAGCAUGUAUGUAAUUUGACUUUUUACAAAUUAUUGGGGUUAGAGACAAAAUUUUUCUAAAUUUCAACAAUUGCUAAUUAGUUGGGUAAAUUCAAAAAUUUUCAAAUAUUACUAUGCCUAAAAAUGUAAAUUCAGUUGGCUAGAGUGGCAUGCCGAAUAUGCAGCUUUGCGCUUUUUAUCAGGGAGUACAUGGUUUUACGGGUCAGGCUUUGCUAGGUACGGGGAGGACAUAAUGAACGCAUCAUUUGAUGGAAAAUCUAAUGGUGUAUUUCUACCAAAACAUGAUGGGGUGGAUUGGAGUUGAUGGAUCUGGUCGUGAAGACUAAACUCAUGAUGGAAUCCGCGAAAGUUUUGCAAAAGGUAAUUUCCUUGUGAUGGCGCUGGGACAAAGGACGUGCAACAUCUAAAUAGAAUCUGGAACUUUAUUUUUUUUUUUAUUUUAGGCACUCAAGUUACAAGAGAGAAAGAGGGAAGUAUUGUGGCCCUGGGUGCAAUUGAACUUGUUAAUAAUAUAAUCAACUAGAUAUGUUUUAUGAUUUUCUAUUUCAAAAGAUAGAGUCCCGCAUUAGAAAAUCAAAGAAAUUUUCAAUCAUUUUAUAAUACUUAGUUUCUUAUUGGAUUUGUAUUAAAUUAAUAACUAGUGUGAGCUUAUGCGUAUGAGAAGGACGUUGAGUCGAACCUAUCCAACGUAAACUGAUGAAUUUGCCCCGUGCACGUAGGCCCAGUAUAGUUUUACUUCUAUUCUAUUCAUAGAUAAAAAUUUUAUCAUUUUCCAACAUAUCUUUCUUGAGAGCCACUCCUAGAUUAGAAAUCCUUCUCCGACAUGUCUUCUCCUAUUCUAUUUAUAGAUAAAGUUUUGACUAUUUCCACUGGAUGAUAGAAUUUACAAAAAAUCACCGAAAUUUUAUUCUUCUCCAACAUAUCCUUCUUGAGAGCCACUCCUAGAUUAGAAAGUACACUCACAACACAUUUUGACUAUUUCCACUUGAUGAUAAAGUUUACAAAAAAAAAAAAAAAUCACUGAAAUUUUAUCCUUCUCCAACAUAUCUUUCUUGAGAGCCACUCCUAAAUUAGAAAAUACACUCACAACACAAAGUUAGUUUAUAAAAAUCACAGAAAUUUUAUCUUUCUCCAACAUAUUUUCUUGAGAGCCACUCCUAAAUUAGAAACUACACUCACAUUACGAAGUUCCGGUUGAAUUUUCCUUACAGUUGCUUCUUUCUUCCAUCUUCUCUUUUGUUGUUCCUCUUCCUUCUUGUUUACAAGAAGAAUGAUUAUUUAAUCAUGAAGCAAAAUUUCAACAUCCUGAAAUGGCUUUUCCGAACAGUACUAUUUAGCAUGACUUAUGUUUGUUCAAAUUAUUACUUCUUCAACAUUGUUCAAUUAUUUUCCAAGAAUACUACUGUCAUUAUGGCUUUCAUGCGAACUUGUUAAUACCAUCUGAAGAAUAUCAACUAUCUUUAUUGACAAGUAUCUAUACCAUUGGAAUACAUCAUCAUUAUGGCUUUGAUUAGUUCGCAUCAAUGCUCGUCACACUCAUCCAACAGUAUAUUUGGAUUAUUGUUGUGAUGUAACUUGCAUUAAUGCAUCUACCAUUCUUCCCCAACUGAAAGACCAUCAUGUUUUUUGGCAGUAUAUUGGGAAUUGCUGUGAUUUGGCAGUAUAUUGGUAAUUGGUGUGAUGUACUUGUAUUAUUGCAUGUACUGGUUUUUUUUGGCACGUUAGAUUGAGCAUUGUCGGCCGGUUUUUUUUUUUGGCAUGUUAGAUUGAACAUUGCACGAGUGCUUUAUCAACUAAGAAAUCACCUUCAUCACUUGAAAGAGUUCACUGUGUGCCUGGAAAGCCACAUUUUUUGCUUUGGCAUGUUAGAUUGAGCAUUGCAUAAUUGCUUUAUCAACUAACUAACAAAAUUUCUACUUACUUCCCCACUUGAUUUGAACAAAAAACUGUCUUACUUACGACGCUCAUCUUAUCAUCCAAUCCAAUCCUCCCCUCCUAUUUAAGAUAAUCUUUGUUUGUUAAUAUGUUUGCCUUCCCUCCUAUUUAUCAUAAUUUUGUUUGUUAAUAUGUUUGCUAUUUGUAUUAAAGAUGGUUCGAGGUAUAAAUAUCAACUUUGGCAUAAAUAGCAUGAAUACCAUUGGAUAGAGAGGAAAAUGAAAUUCCAUCCGUAUUGUUUUAGGAAAUUACAUAUUUUCACAUUUUGUUAUUUCCUCGUUUGAACUUCCUUGUUCAAGAGCCUGAAAAUAGAAAUCUAAAUGCAACCUCUAUCUUUAUUAGCACAAUCAAAUACUUAUCAUUGUGCCUUUAAUAAAUUAACUAUUUUUGUUGAAAUUCUGUGUGAAUAGCUUUACAUUUAUACACUACAUUUAUACACCUCCUCCAAGAGGUAUAAAAUGGAUCAUCCAUUUAUUUGCCAGGAUGGAGGACACCUCAAAUCUUUUUAUAGCAAAUUAUGUCAUAGCUCCUAGAUUUCUAGAUAAUUUUAGUAGAAAAAAAUAUGUAAUGAGUUCAAAUUUAUAUCCCUUAAAAAUCAUAUUUUUAGAAAAGAUUUGACCAACAAAACUUUUACAAUGCAUCACACAUUUUAACAAUCUAAUUGGUAUUAACAAGUGCUAUAUAUUUUUAUUCUAGAUUUUUUUUUUUUGAGAUCCAAUAUUUGACUUAUUACAGUGUUAUUACUUUAUUAGUUUACUAAAAGGUAUUCAAUGUGUCAAGAAGAUUGAAACUGCAUAAUUUUGACAACAAAAUUUGUUGGCAAAAAUACAACCACUUUUUAUGUAUACAGAAAUUUGACGAGGCAUUCAUCUGUACAUACCCAUAAAGGGAGAGAUCCAAAUUUUGGUCUCCCACUGUUGGACUAAUAAUUUGCUCAAAUCCAAAACAUUCCAUGGAAAGUUUCAUCGAUUUUGGUUUCUUUUAUAUGUCUAGCGAGUUUGGUUUCUUUUAUAUGUCUAGAUUUCCAUUUUGGAGACACCAAAUUGCAUUUUUCAUCUUAAGCGUAAGACACCUCUUAUGCUGGAGAAGACAAGAUAUUGCCUAGUAAUGUGAUUGCACUUAUCGAAUGAAAACAUCAUGCACCUUCUAAAGUGUGGAAACAUAUAAAAUCUAGUACUUUGCAAAAUGCUGUGAACCGAAUAAAUUUUUUAUACACCGUAGAUAUGGAGGAGGAACUACCAUUAUUACAUUACUUCAAACUGCAAAUUGAAAAGGGAAAGAUUUACAGAGUUUAAUUACGGUAUAGAAAAAAUAUUAUUUCAUAUAAAAUCCUUCCUAUUUCACCAAGCCCCCAAAUAAAACCAGAUCUUGCUUGCUUUCUAUACAUGUAUGGUGGCUACUCUUUUUCUUGGUACUUGAGCUUUAAUGACAUCCCUUUAUUUAGACUCAUUUGAUCAUGUUCUUCUUCUUUUAUGUUUUUUUUUUUAAUUGAUGUUGAUACAAUUCAUCCUCUUGAGAGAAGAAAUUAAUCAUUUUCAGGAUUAACUUGAAAGAAAUAAAUUGAAUCCGUGCCUAGUAAAUAAUCUGUAAUUUGUCUUUUGAUUUCAAGAACUUGUUCCAAUCAUUUCUUGUAAUCAUGUUAUGAUUUAAACUUUUGUGUUUAUGAUGGUGUAUGUGCUUAAUAUAAAUGUUAAACACUUACAAGUUCAAAAAGUUAGUUUCUUUCUGGGCUGGCUUAAAAGAUAGUCUAAUACCCUUUCUGUUUAGGUUUUAUGAUGCCCCUUAAUUUCUAAAUGAAUGCUUAGAUGAUGUCAAAUUUUUUGUGGAGAUAACUAGAUAUGGACAUAAAAGAAACAGCCAUUCUUUUUUUUUUUUUUUUCGCUCCUGUCAGAUUACUUAAUUUUGUAUAGUUUACUUGUUUUUCCCCCCGUGAAUCGCUAUAACAUAAUCUUUGUACAUUGCCAGUCUAUGCUAAAUAAGCUGAAAAAAAAUUGAAUAUGACUUUUUUUACAUUAUUCCAUUUGGGUAGAUUAGUCAUUCCUUUGGAUAUCAAAUAAAAAUGUGUCAUGCCAUAAUAAAAAAAUGUUUAACUUCAGCCAAGGACUAGGUUUAAUUAAGCAUGUUUGCAUUUUCAUUUCUUUACUUUUUCCUAAAUACUGCACUUGCUAGUUUAUAGCAAAAGAUUACACUGAUGCCUUGUUUAAUAACUCAAUUCAAUACUUAAAUUUAAAUGGAUUCAGAUUUUAAUAUGUUCAGUUAUAUUUGAUAACAAAAAAUAGAAUAUCUGAAUUAAUUAAGUGGCAUUAAAUUUUCUAACUAAAGUUUAGUUUAAAAAAUAAGUGAUAAGAUAUUCACUUAUCACUUAAUAGGAUAUCUACUUAAACGUAUCAAAUUUAGUACUUAACUAUAUAUUCAAUAAUUUAUUGGAUUCAGACUUCAUAUUUAAGAUUUUAGAUUCCAAUUUUCAAAUUUCAAUUUUAUCAAAUGCACCCUAAGUUUGCUAGUGCUUCCUUCAAUUAUGCUUUUGUAAGCUAUCUUAUGAAAGAAAACAUAUAAUUUACUAUGGUAUAUAUUUUACUUUAUUCUUUUUUCUAUUCCAAUAGAACAUUAAAUUUAUUAUAUUCUAAAGAGUAAAUCUUAUACACAUUGACGGUGUAUAUUCUAUUACUAUUGGAUUCAUGACAUAUGUGCAAAAGUUGAAUUUCAAAUUCAAAUUUUACAUAGUUGUCAUUCAUCCAACGUGUACCGUGUAUAUAUACAUUAUCAGUGUAGGAAAGAUUAAUUCUAUUCCAAAUAGAACUUUAUAGUUAUUAUUUUUUUUAAAAAAAAUCUUCAGUAAGACCUUUUCAUGGUUUGAUAAAGUUCCCAAGCUAAUUGAGUCGAAAAUCAAUAGUGAACUUCAUGCAAAAGAGCUAUAAGAUGAAAUGACUAGAACCCCUUGUUCCUCAAUCUAGAACCGGACCUGCAGAGUGGUCUACCUCCUAUUGUUUAAAAGGCGAGCAAUAAUUAAGUUCUAUAUAUAUUUUUGGCAUUUUUUUUUUGCAAAAAAUCCUACUCUAAGGUACAACUUAUACGACAAACAAACAUAGGCUAAAUGAACGAUUGCUCAUUUUCUUAAUUUUAAAAAUUCUUAUAUUUAUACCUAUCAUUUAAAUGUCAUAAUUUUUAGUGACUUUUUGUAAGUAAACUCUUUUUUUAAUGUGUAUGUUGUUUUAUAUUGAAUUUGUCAUGUAAAUACACCCAAUCACAUUCUAAUAUUUAUAUAUUUUUCAGAUUUAAAUCUCAUUUUCUAAAAGAUUGCCAUCUAAAAAUCAUUGAAAAGUGGAAUGGACUCAAUUAGACGAGCUCUUCUUCUUCCCUUUGUUUUUUUCAAAUAAUGACACGGCAAUAAUGCACCCCCUGAAUCACAAAAACACUCGCACUCUGGCUGCUGCUUGUCCAUGGACCAUUCGUUAUCUGUGCGCCAACCCACUCAACUGUCCCAUCAAUUAAAAUCUAAGGGGGCAAUAGUGGGUCAAAACUUAUCCUUGAUGAUGAUAAGAUGAAAAAAAAUUGGACCCCAGCCCAAAGGUCUCGUUUUGCACGUGUACUGAUUUGCACAUGUGCUCCACAAGGCCCUAAAGUUAAAAUUGUCCUAAUCAAUUGCUAUCCGUGAAUUUUUUGCACGGAUUAACUUUUUAUAAAAGCUCGAUUUUUUACACUAGCAACUUUAAAUAAACACGUGUACAUAAUUUAAAUUUCAAAUUUAAAUUAAUAUUAUAUAGCAUUGAUCUAAUUCUGUUUAUAUAAAAAAAUCUUUAUUUUGACAAAAUAUAGAAAAUUUGUUCAGAUUGUCCACGAAACCAUAUAAAUCGUAGCUACAUGACAACUUUAGAAGCGCCUACAUUUGAACAAGUUUUAUUGUAGUUAAUAAGCAAGUCCUAGAGUAACUAAUUACUGCAUCCGAUCGGUGUGAAUAAUGCACUUGAAGUGAUUCUUUUGGGCACAUAAGAGAGACAUGAUAUGAAACAGUGCUGCUAAUUUAUUUUUUUUUUGAUCGACACGAUAUAUUAUACACCUACUCCUGACAGAAUUUUCCAAAAAAUUCUAAAGAAGAAUUCAAGAAAUUUAAUUCCGUGACCUAUAUUCAAAGAGAGUUUUAAACCUCUCUCUCUCUAGCGGCUAACCACUUUAGAGACAGUCAAUUGAAAUAGUGCUGCUAAAUGACUCUGGCAUUUCUUUUCUUUUCUUCAAAGAUUCUUUUGACGCAUUUCUCAACGAUCGCUUUUUGCUACGUGUGCACUGUGCCGUACAAUGUUAGUGCCAAAAAUCAGCGCGAACAGUUGGAUUAUAUAUUGGUUUUUCUAAACACUCACUCAAAACCUGCAAUCUAAACGAAGCCACAGAUUGCCGGCACAAAUUAACAGCUCUGUUUACUUGUACUGGUAGGAUACAAAAGUAACACAUAACACUGUAAAAAGUUAUCUAGUACUGGUAGGAUACAAAAAUAACACUAACACACUGUUAAACAGUUACCUAGAAAAGCAGAUUUGUAGCUAAAAAGGCUCGAUUUUGCCUCCAUUAAGCCUAUAUUUCACCCAUUGCUGACAAUAGAUUUGAUAUAAUCAAUC
RNAcentral lists this long non-coding RNA (81986 nucleotides) under Coffea arabica (coffee). RNAcentral describes it as "long non-coding RNA (CARA_LNC002837)". The record is from RNAcentral. Lineage: Eukaryota; Viridiplantae; Streptophyta; Magnoliopsida; Gentianales; Rubiaceae.